CCUAACCAAAUCUUAAUAAAAUCUUAAUCAAAUUUUAACUAAACUAUAAUCAAAAUUUAAUUAAAUUCUAACAAGAUCCUAAAAAAGUUUAAAGUAGAUUGUAAUCAAUCUCUAUUAAUACUAAUCAAAUAUAUUGAUCUUAAUUAAUACUAAUCAAACCAUUCAUCUUAACUCAAAUUUCAUCUACAUUUCAAUUUACAACCAAUUAAAAGGUACAUAAAAUUUUAAAAAAAUUAAACUCACUAAUUAAAAUAAAAGCUCUUAAAACUUUCAAAAGUUAAAAGCCAUCAUUCUCUAAUCCAAAUGUUGAUCUUUUAGUAGAGAUUUUUCCUUACUAAACUAUUAAAUUGUUUCAAAGUUUGACUUAUGUGUAGAUUUUUAAGUCUAGAUUGCUAUUACCAAAUUUUGCUUUAAUUGAAUUAGUAAAUUUUUUGGAUUAUAAAAACCCUCAUUAAUCCUAAAUUUUAAAACUUUGAGAUCCUAAUCCAAUCAAAUUCUCUUAUCCUUAAAUCUAAUUAUUUGAUCACUUUUAAAUUUUUUAAAAAUAUUAAAAGCAAGUACAAGAAAAAAAAACUUACAAAAUUUCAUCUAUAUACAUGCUAUGAGAUUCACAAAAUAAUCAAAAUUAUAAACUAAUUUUUAUUUUUCAAAAUCCAAAACUACUAUGUACAACUGUAGAAUAGAUAUUAAUUCAUUUUUGAAAGAUAUUUAUAAAAUAUAUUAAUAGUCCAUACAAUAAGAAAUUCAGGAGGACAGAUGAGUGAUUUAGUUAUUAAAAAUGGUUAAUUACAAAAUUACGGUUAGGAUCUAAAGAAUUAGGGAAAAGUAUAUAGGAGUUGUAGAAGUUAAUUAGGAUGCCAGAGUGUAAGAGUCGUGAGCCGAGGGCCAUUGUUGUGAUAGUGUGAGCUGGGGUAAGCUUGGUGCUAUUUCUUCUCUUUUGUUUGUUAUUUUCUUUGAAUAAGAGGAUUGAGAGUUUCUGAAUAUUGUGAAGUGAAUUAUGGAAUGGAAAUGUGAUUGGUAUUAUUUGAGAAGAAGAAAGAUUCAAUGCUGAAAUCUAAUUGUAGUUCAACAAAGAGAAUGAGUCUGUGUUUGUGUGAAACACUGUAAUGUGAAUGGCAGUUCUGUGUGAAGAAUUCCAAUGAUUGGAACGAGGGUAAUUGUGUGCUGAAAGCUGUGAGGGUGCAGUAUUACAGUUGGAGAUUAUGAAGGUGAAUAUAUUGGUGGAAAUAGCAGUUGUUGGUAUGAUUGAAUUGCUAUAAGGAAGAGAUCGAUAAGGUGAAGGAGGAGAUUAUUGUUUCCUUGUGUGUUUAGAUAUUGGAAAUAGAGACGAUACAUUCAGGAGGUAAUUGAUUGUGUAACCCUAACGUAAAUGCUUAAGCAACUAGUCAUUCCCCAUAUUUGAAUCCCCCUAUACGGGUUUAUGCUCGGAGGUUUCUUCUGGAAUAAGUAAAAUGAACAAUCACAACAACUCUUACUUUGAAAAGCCCUUAAAAAUUCAAUAUGUCUCUAAAAUACAUAAAACUAGGUAUCUAAAAAUCUCUCACUAAUCUCAUCUCAAAUCCUACUUUUUAAUCAACCAAAAAAUCUUAGAAUUGCCAUAGGUGUGCAAUUUUGUACCUCACAAUUUGAUUUUCAUCUUAAUUUACAAUUGAUCCUCUUUGGAUAUUAAUCUUUAUUAUUUUAGGAUAAAUUUUACUAAAAUAUAUUAUUAAAUUCUUUCUAAAGAUGUAUAUUUAAUUUUUUUUUCUUAAUCUACUUUUUUUUUCUAUUUAUGGUCUUAUAAAGUAAGUAGAAGCAUUUUUUCAAGAAGGUAGCAUGAAUAAUUAUUAAUUUUUAUUACCUCAUUAUCUAUUAAUUAUAUUUUUUAAUUUAAAAUUAUUUAUAUUUCUAAUUUUAUAAUACAUAUUUCUAAGUUUUUUUGACACAUGAAAAAUAUGAAAAUUAUGCUUUUUAUAUUAUCUUAGAAUAGAUGAAAAUAUUAUUUAGAUAAUAAAUAACAAAAUAAUCUAAAACUUCUUCAAAAAUAUCAUUUAUUAGAUAUUAAAAAGCAAUUGGUAUAUUUGUGAAUUCAAAUAAUAUGACAUUAUAUUCAAAAUGCAAUCUUUAAUUUUGGUUUUUUUUUUUUUUUUUUUUAUGUAUGCUAGUUGUCAUGAACAUACAUAUUUAUCUAAAUAAGAAGUGUGAGUCAUCAAAUCAAUUCAUUAGUUGUUUUAGGAUAAAAAGAUGUAUUUAAAGUACUUAGAAUCAUAAUAUAUGGUGAAUAGUAUAGAAAUAUUUAGAAAAAUAGAAAAUUAGAGUGCUUGUUGUAGAAUUAGAAUCUUAGUAAGACUUGGAGGCAAUUAUGUUAGUUGGUUUAGUAUUUUUUAAUUAAUAUUGAGUAUUGAAGAUUAUUUAUUGAGGUCAAUAUUUAUAUUGAUCUUUUAUCUAUAUAUAUUACUUAUAAGAAAAACUAUAAAUUUUAGUUAGUAGUUAGAAGAAGCAUGAAAAAGAACUUCAUGUCUUUUUAGUUAGAUAUAUAAAAAGUAAGAUUAAUAGUAGUUUUAAAUUGAUUUUAUUAUUAUAAAAAAUUAUCAAUACAAGAAAUUAUAGCCUUAAACUGAUUUUAUUAUUAUGGAAUCAUUAUAAGAAUUUUUAGAAUUUUUUUAGAUUUUUUUUAGAGUUGUUUUAGGAAUUUUUAGAGCAAUUUCAAAGACUUUGAUAAAAAUGAGUUUUAUCACUUUGGAAGCCAUAAUGAAGAACUGGAGCAAGAUUUGAAGGCCAAAAUUAAUUUUUAUGCUAAUUGGAUGUUUUUAAACACCAUGGUGAAGUCAAAAAUACAAAAUUAUUGAUUUUACUAGUAGAAAGUAGGAGGACCAGCAGCUAGUGUAGUCCUUUUAAGAAGGGAGAUACACAAGUCUCAUAUAGGUUGUAGCACCUUGAAGGUAGUUAAGAAGAUAAGACUAAGACAUCGUGGCCUUUUUUAUCAAUCCAUGUAGACUAUUUGUGAGCCUUGGUGAAGCUUGAAGUCCUGAUCUCUUAAGCAAGUUAUCUUUGAAGUAAAAAUUAUUUACUUAACUUUUCAUUUAUUUACUUGUUAUUUUUUAAACCUUCAUAACUUAUUCAUAGUAACUCGGAUUUAAAUGUUUCUUAUACCAUUAAAAAUAUAAAAAAAAUAAAUUUCUAAAAAUAUUUUUUAAAAUUUUUUAUUGGAUAAAAAAUUAAUAAAUAAAUUGUGACUAGUUUUAUAGUGUACAAUUAUUUGAUUGCACUUCUUCCACUUGUUUUGUAUUUUACUUCUUUUUUUCUUGUUCUUGAUACUUUCACUUUAUACCAUCUAUUACAAAUAACUCUUAAUUGAGGCCAUCUUAUAAUUGGAUUGAGGAGUAAAUUUUAUACUCAUAAGAAGUAUUAGGUAGAAAAUAAAUAUAGAUAGAUUAGAUAUUAUGUUGUAGAAAAGCUUCUUAGAAGCUUCACAGAUGUAUAUUUGACUUUAUACAUAUUUAUAAUUGAUUGACAGGUUAAAAACUUGGCCAAAAAAUUAUCUAUGUGUUGAUUAUAUACAUAACUUGUGUUAUAAGCUAAUAACAUGGUUGUAUAUAAGAAACUUACCUUGCAAGUUAAGAUAUGUGUCUUACAAAUUAGACAUGUAUUGGAGGUUUUUAGGACAUUGCCACAUAGCUCAUAGUUAGAUAGUAUAUAUAGAGGUAAGAGUGAAGCCUUCUACACUCAUGUCAAUGUUUUUCUAGUCCUUAGUCUUAUUUCAAGACUUUCUAGAUUUCUUAUCUUUGGCAAUAGCCAUUCUAUUUCAAUAUAUUAUCAUCUUUGAAUAAUUUUUUAUUCUUUUUCAAUGACAUAAGAAUAUGUUUAUUUUUUUUUAUUUUUUUUUAUUUUUUAAGAUUCAUGUCCUUAAUAAUUUAAAAAGAGUGUUAACUUAUUAUCUUUAUUUUGUAUUAGAAGUGAAUUGAUUACUCUACUUCUAUUGUUACAUUUAGAAGGUUGUAAACUAUCCAUCUUUAAAGUCACUUUUAAUUUUUGAAUAUUGAUUGUUUUUUUUUAAAAAGAAUGGAAUACCUUUUUUAAAAAAAAAUAAUUUUAUAUUAAAGGUUACAAAUUACCUUGUUCUAAUUUAACUUACAGAUUUUUUUUGAAUUAUCUAUAAAAAAAAAAAAAAAAAAAAAAAAAAAAUCAUAAAUGAUACUCUUUGUGGAAUUGAGAAUAGAUUUACAACCAUUGCACAUCUUCACAAGCUUGUCUAUACUUUGAGGGUAGAAAUCUCAUGUAUCUCUAACAUCAACUAUGAAAGUAGUAUUUUGAUGCUUAUAGAAUAAAUCAACAAUAAAAUUCAAAAUAUAUACUAAGAAGUUGUAUAAUUGAGAGAAGCAAGUAAAUCAACUUCACAACUAAAUCCAAUUAGUCUUUCUAUUCAAAAUAUGAGAGAGGUAAGGAUAAAUAUGCUUGAGAAGUUCAUUGGAAUAAGACAAAAUUUUAAAGAUUUUUACAAGUAAAAUUUUAUCUAAUAUUAUAUCUUUCUUAAUAUCCUAAUGGAUUUAUUCAAGUUAGAUUCAUAUGUAUACUUCUCUCUAGGAAUGCUCUCUCUUAAUUUGUACUUUUGAUGGAAAAAGAUUCAUGUCUUUUCAAUGAUUUGAAUUCAUUCUUAAAAGUAUUUAUGAUCACUUUUGGAGAAAGUGAUCAAAAAAUGGAAGCAAAAAUCAAAAUUAUAUCUUUAAGGCAAAGAUCAUAUUUAGCUAUUAAAUAUACUACAUAAUUCCAAAAUCUUAUUUGUAAUAUAAAUUAGAAUAAUAAAGUAUUUAUUAAUCAAUUUUAAAAUGGGCUAAAAGAUAAUGUCAAAGUUUUUUUUUUGAUAAUGCUAAAAACAAACUCAUUAGAAUAAUUUAUUAUUGAAGUCAUUCCAUGCAAAAAUUGACUCUUUGAAAGCUGUCAAGAAUUAAGAUUUUGUUGGAAAGGUAAAAAUCUAGAUAUGGCAAUAGUCUCUAAAUUUACAAAAAUUUAUUCAUCAAGAUUGGAAUCUAUGCAAAUUGAUACAAUAUAUUUCAAGCCUCUUAUUAUACAAAAAAAAACUUAAUGCCAUCACGAAUGUUUAUGCUUUUAUUAUGAAGAAUCUAAAUACACUAUUCAAUAUUGUCUAAAGAAGCAAUGCAACCACAAAAUGAGGAGUAUAAUUUCCAAAGAAGAAAAUGUAUCAAAAAACAAAUUUUUUCAACUCUAAUAAAGACCAUGUGAUUAGAAUCUUAUAUAACACUUAAUAAAGGUCAUAUUUUUUCUUUAAAUCCUUCACCUUAUUUUAUAAUAGAAGUUUGUUUGAAAUCAAAAAAUCACAAAGUCUUUGCCUUACUAGAUCCAAGAGCCUCAACUUAUUUUAUAGACAAAGUCUUCAUUAAAAAAUAAGAAAUAUCUUUAGUCAAAAAAACAUUCAUACAAGUAGAAGUCAUAGAUAGUCAUUUGUUGUCCUCUAGAGACAUUAUCUAUAAAACUGUUCUUUUAGAUGUAGCAACUAAAUAUCAUAAUACCUUAGUAAUAUUCAAUGUUAUUAGAUUUCCAUCCAACCUUGUUAUUUUAGGAUUAAUCUAAAAAAGCACAAUCCUCAAAUACAUUAGACCCUUUAUAACCUUAAUUUUUUCUAUAGUUUAAUCUAGGAUCUUGUUAGUCAAGUAGAAAUCAACAUGUCCAAUACAAUCAAACCUUUAUUAGUAGGUGCAAGAACUUUCAUGCAUGCAAUAAAAGAAGGAUCAAUUUUUGCUAUAUACGACAUAUCUAUUUUUAAUAAAAAAAUCUUUAAGUGGCAUUCUAAGCUAGUACUCAGAUUAUCAAGAUAUUUUUUAAAACAAAAUACAAAUAUUAUUUUAGAACAUUGUUCAUAUGACUAUUCUAUUGAUCUUCUAGACAAAGCUCAACCACCAUUUGGAAUAAUUUAUAAAAUAUCACAAAAUAAGUUAUUUGUACUUAAGAAGUAUAAUUAUAAAAAUUUGGCUAAAAAUCUCAUAUGCUAUUUUAAAUCUUUAGCAAAGAUUUCUAUCUUAUUUGUAAAGAAAAAAGAUGGAUCCUUAUAAAUGUGUAAAGACUAUUGAUGAUUCAACAAGAUUACCAUCAAAAUAUCAAAAACAUAAAUAUUAAAGGACCAAAAAUUUAAUAAAAUCUUACAUAACUCAAAAAAUAAAUAAAUAAAUAAAAAUCACUCAAAACUAAUAUAGUAUUAAAACUUGAAUGGCUAUUGCCAAAAAAAAAAGAUUAAAAAGGCUUGAAAUAAGACUAAGAACUAGAAAGACAUUGAUAAGAGUAAAGAAGGCUUCAAUCUUGCUUCCAUAUAUACCAUCUAACUAGAUGCUAUUUGGCAAUGUUCUAUAGGACUGCCAACACGUAUCUAACUUGUAAGAUAUAUGGCUAACUUAUAAGUUAAGUUUUCUAUAUAUACACCAAAUAGUAAAUAUGUGCAACAUGGGGCUAACUUAUUGGCUAAAUUUUUAUUCUACCAAUCAGUUAUAAAUACGUCUAAAGUCAAAUAUAGAUCUAUGAAGCUUUUAAAAAGCUUAGCUAUAAGAUAAUAUCAAAUCUACUUAUAUUUAUUUUUUAUCUAAUAUUUUUUAUCCAACUAAAUAUAUAUGUCUAUAACACACAAAUAUACAUCCUUUAUCUUUGGUUUUAAGACUUCUUUGUCAAUUCAAUUAAAUAAAGAUUUAUACCAAAAUAGAUCAAUAAACAACAUAUAAUCUCAUAUGCAUUAAAGAAGGAGAUGAAUGGAAGACUACAUUUCAAACUAAGUAUGGAAAUUUUAAAUAUAAUCUCAUGCUUUUUGGACUUAUGAAUGUACCAACUACUUUUCAACAUCUAAUGAAUGAUAUCUUUUUUAAGUUUCUUCAUGACUUUAUCAUCUAUUAUCUAGAAAAUAUUUUAAUCUAUUUUAAGAUUAUAAAGAGUAUAAAUUUUAUGUUUGUCAUGUGAUAUAAAAACUAAAAGAUGUAAGAUUAUAUGCCAAAAUAAAAUAAAAAAAUAUAUAUAUUUUAAAUUAUUCAAAUUAACUUCUUAACAUAUAUCAUUUCAAAUGAUGGCCUUAUGAUGGAUCCUAAAAAAGUCUAAACUAUCAUAGAUUAUAAGAUUCUAAAGAUAGUCAACAAUUUAAUUUUUUUAAAAUUUUUCAAUUAUUAUCCAAAUCUUCAUUAAAAACUUUUUUCAAGUUGCAAUUCUUCUUAUAUCUCUAAUAUAUAAAGGAAAACUUAAUUAGAAAAAUAAAUUUAAAUAUCUUUUGAAGUAUUGAAGACAAUAUAUAUUUUUAUAUCAAUCUUGUAUUGCAUUGAUUUUUUUAAAAUAUUUUUUAUUGAAAAAAAUACAUUAAACUUUUCUAAAGAUAUAAUUUGUCACAAAUAGGAAAAAAUGAUAAAUUUUAUUUGAUAAAUUUUUAUUUUAAAAAAAAUUUAGCAACCAAAAUUAAUUAUAAGAUAUAUAUAUAUAAAAAAAAAAAAAAAAAAAAAAAAAAAAAAAAAAAAAUCUUAUAAUUAUAUAUUCAUUUUAAGAAUAAUAUCAUUAUUUAUAAGGUAUUUUUAAUUUAGAAAUUAUACUACUGCAUUAUAAGCAUUUCAAGUACUUCAUGUCAACACAUAUUUUGAAUCAUUGUCAAGUCCAUUAGAGCAUGUUAUGUGUGUAAAUUUUCAAUCCUCAAUCCAAGUUACAAGAUGGCCUAAACUAAGAAUUGCUUGUAAUUUGUAGUAUGAAGUGAAGUAGGCAAUUAAAAAGAACAAAAGAAGAACAACUACAAAGCAAUAGAAAUAAAUGACAUGAUGUAAUUACAACACCCAAGACUAAGUUAUAGUCUGUUCACUGUGUUUUUAUCCAAUAAAAAGUAAAAAUAAAAAAUAAAAAAUAUAUUUUUAUAUAGAUAAUUUUAUUGUCUUUCCAAUGAUAUAAGAAACAUGUAAAUCCGAAUUACUAUGAAUAAGUUGUGAGGUUUUAAAGAUAUGAAGUAAAUAAUUAAAAAAUGAAGUAAAAAUAUUUUACCUCAAAAGUAACUUGCUUAUAGAUCAAGGGUUCGAGCCUCACCAAGACUCAUAUGUAGUAUAUAAGGGUAUCUAAGAGAGGCCACAAGGCUUUAAUCUUAUCCUCCUAACUACCUUCAAGGUGCUACAACCAAUAUGGGACUUGUGUACUACCCUUCCUACAAAGACUAUACUAGUUGCUGGUCCUCCUAUUUUCUACCAGAAGGACCAACAUUUUUAUAAUUUUGACCUCAUCAUGGUGUUCAAAAAUAUCCUAUUAGCCUGGGAACCUUGUGUGGCACUGAAAUCUUGCUCCAUUUCUUCAUAAAGGCUCCCAAAGUAAUUAAACUCAUUUUAACCAAGAUCUUAAAAAUUACUCUAAAAAUUUCUAAAUAAUUCUAAAUAAAUUCUAAAUAAAAUUUUUAAAAAUAAUAAUAUUUUUAUAAUUAUAAUAUCCAUUUAAGGAUAUAUUUUUCUAUCUUAAUGAUUUUUGAUAAUAAUAAAAAUUAAUUUAAAUCCAUUAUAAAUCUUAUUUUUUAUAUCAAUAACUAAAAUGAGAUGAGGUUCUUUCUCAUGCUUCUUCUAACUACUAACAUUUAUAGUUUUUAUAAGUAGUACAUAUAGAUGAAGACCAAUAUAAAUAUUGGUUUUAAUAAAUAAUCCUUAAUAUUCAAUAAUAAAAUAAAAAUACUAAACUAAUGAGUAUAAUUGCCUCCAAGACUUACUAAGAUUCUAUUUCCACCACUAACAUUUUAAUUUUCUAUUUUUCUAAGGAUUUCUACACUAAUCACUAUAUAUUGUGAUUUAAAUCAUUCUAAAUGUAAAUUUUUAUUCUAAAAUAAUAAGUGAGUUAAUUUGAUGACUCACACAUGUCUUUAUUAAUAUUUUAUUUCAAUUUUAUUUAUUGAUAUAAAAAAAUAAGAUUUAAAAGAUGUCUUAUUUAAACAUUCUUAUCUUUCAUCCAAAGAAAAAAAAUGCAGCCUUUGAUCAACAAAGAACAAUUUUCUUAAAGAUAGAGCAUUUUCAUCUUUAAAUAAUGAACAUUUUUCAAGCAAGUUCAAUUGAGUAAGCCCUAUAAUCUUCUUGUUUAUGAUAUUAAGAGAAAAAAAUUAAGUCUCAUGAGACUUCUAAAUUUGAAUCCAAAAAUAAUCUAUUCUAUUUUGAGGAAUGAUUAUGUAUUCUUGAUGAUAAAGCAUGAUUAUAUAUUCUUCAAGCUCAACAUGAUUUUUCAAUAACUAGACAUUUUAAAUACAACAAGACUUAAUAGCUAAUAUCUAGAGAUUUUUAGUAGCAUCAAUUAUAGAAAGCAGUUUAAGACUUUGUACAGUCAUGUGAUAUUUAUUUAAAAUCAAAAAUUCCUUGUCAUUGAUCUUAUAUACUUCUUUAAUCAUUAUCUAUUUCAAAAAAAUUAUAAUAUUUAUUUCUAUGGAUUUUAUUAUCAAUCUUUUAAUCUCAAGUUUGUAUGAUUUUAUAUUUGUGAUAGUAGAUCAAUUCACUAAGAUAGCAUAUUUUAUACCAUAUACAAAAUCUAUCAUUGGUGAAGAAAUAAUUAAGUUUUUUAUUGACAACAUCUGCUACCAUCAAGAAUUAUUUAGAAAUAUCAUAUCAAAUAUGAAGACUCAAUAUGUAUCAAGAUUUUAAAAAAUCUUUUUUGAGAUUUUAAAGAUAAAUAUAAAGCUAUCUUUGACUUUUUAACUCUAAAUUAAUAAAUAAAAAAGUGUAUAAAUCAAGUUUUGAAAUAAUAUUUGAGUUGUGCUAUCAAUUAUCAAUAAGUUAACUGAAUAAUUCUUUUAUCAUUAAUAAAUUUUGCUUAUAAUAAUAUAGUAUAUUUUUUUAUUCAAUAAACAUCUUUCUUUAUUAAUUAUAAUUAUCAUCUACAACUUGAUACUUUUGACUUCUCAAAAGUUGAUAAUCCUUGAUAAAAGAUUUGAGAAAUCAUUUAUUUGAGCUAUAUACAACAAUAAAGCCAUAAUCAACCAUUUCUUAUUUGUAAACAAAUCAAUCUAUUUACUUAUUGAUUAUAUCUAUCAAAGUCUAUGAAGAUCCAUCUUAUAUUUGUCUUAUUUCUUCUUAAGUCAUAUAAAAUAGCGAAUAUCUCAAGAAAAAAAGAAAUGCCACUUCUUCCUAUGAAAGAAGAUAAUAAUUAAGAGUUUGAAGUGAAAAGAGUUUUAAAUUUGAGGCAGUGCCAAAAUAAGUUAGAAUAUCUUAUUCAUUAGUAUAAAUAUGAUAUUAGUGAAUACAUAUGAGAGUUAACUAAGAAUCUUACAAAUGUAGAAAAAGAAGUUGAUAGUUUUCAUUGAUGACAUCUAUCAAAAUCAAGAUAAAAAAUAAUAAAUCUUUGCUAUAAAAAAUAACACUUAAAAAAAUUACAUUUCACCUUCUAUCUUUAUUUUUAGUUUAUAUGUAGCAUUAAGAAGAUGAAGAAUCAACAUCCAAUAGAUUCAACUCAAAAGUCUUUGUUUGCUAACUUAAUAAAUAAAAUAUUAUAAUUAUUAUAGCCUUUGAAACAACAUAAUUGACAUGAGGACCUUCAAGAAUGAUAAGUUCUUCUCUAAAUAGAUUACAAAAUAUAAUAUAUUUGAUAUAAUAACUUUUGAAGAGAUUCUUGAUGUUUGGUGAUUUUAUCAAAGGUAUAAAUGACUCUUGAUGGUCUUACAAAUGUUUUAUUUAAAGGAAGUUAUAAAACCCUCAACAAUAACCAAAUAAUAUUGUGAUCUUCUUGCUUUUGAAUGCGACAUUAUUGAUGGAUGAUAGGACCUAUCAACCACCUUCAAAAAGAAAUAAGAUUAGAAUAUGUAACAAACAUAAUUCGCCACAUCUUAAACUUUUCAACAUAUAAUGACUGCUCUUUAUGGAAUUCAUUUCAAGAAAGAGAAAUAAUGUUAUGGAUAUAUACAUUUAUUUAAAUAAGAAGCGUUAAGUAGAAGAUAAAUAUAAGUAGAUUUGAUUUUAUAUUAUGGUAAAUCUUUUUAGAAACUUUAUAGAUACAUAUUUGAUUUUAUUCAUAUUUAUAGUUGAUUGAUACGUUAAAAACUUUGUCAACAAAUUAGCCAUGUAAUGCAUGUAUAGAUAGCUUGUAGUACAAUUAAUAUUGUGGUGCAUAUAUAAGAAACUUGCUUUGCGAGUUAUAACACAUGUCUUGCAAAUUGAAUACAUAUUAGAGGUCUUAUAGGACGUCACCAUGUAGCUCCUAGUUAGAUAGUAUAUAUAGAACCAAGACUAAAGCCUUCUUCAUUCUUAUCAAUGUCUUUUUCAUUUUUAAUCUUAUUUCAAGACUUUUUAGUCUUCUUGUCUUUAGCAAUAGCCAUUAUAGUUCAAUAUAUUAUCAUCUUUGAGUGAUUUUCUAAUUUUUUAAAGUAACAUAAGAAUAUUGAGAUUUUUUUUUUUUUUUUAAGUUCAAGUCCUUCAUACUAGACUAUAUGAUCCUUCUAGAUCUUUUUUGUAUAAAUUAUUAUUUAAUUCAAUAAUAAAUUUUAGUACUAAUAAUAAAAGAUGUUUAUUUUUUAUGGUAAUUUUAUUAAGUGUUAAUAAUCUAUACAUAUUUAUAAUAAUCAAUCUUUUUUCUUUAUAUGAUAAAAACUCUUGCUUGAGAUUUUGAAUGGCAUAUGAAGUUCUUAGCUAUAUUCUCAUUAAUAUAUUCUUUGAAUGGAAUCUAUUUAUUCUAUGAUAAGCUAUAGAUUGAUCCAAAUGGUAGUUGAAUUUUUUUUAAAGACCAAUUGAAUAAUUAUAAGAAUAAUGUUGUAAAAUAAUAUUUAUAUAUUUUUCAAAAAAGUCUUGAUAAUUAUAAUAAUAGCUUAAAUUAAUAAUUAAAGUCUUUCUAUCAUUAAAAAUGGAUGUAGCAUAAAUAAAUAAAUAAAAGUGUGACUUCUCUUUUGCAACAUGCACACAAGCUCUUACACGUCUUUAAUAAAAGAAUAGUUGUACUAGAUUUAUAACUUUCUACUUGAAUAAUAAAAUUUUGAAUUAUUAUGUGGAUUAAAUUACUAUUAUUAGAAAUUUAGUCCAUUUAAAGAUUAUACUUCUUUAACCAUAAUAAACUUAAAAUAAUUAAGUUGGAAGAAAAUAUAAUAAUAUUAAAUAUUAUUAAUCCAUUAUUUUAUUAAUUAUUAUAUCUAAGAGAUAGUUUCAUAGAUAAUAUCUCCAAAAUAUAUCUAUAUAUAUAUAUAUAUAUAUAUAUAUAUAUAUUUAUGAUUCUUAUAAGUACAAGUUUAAUUUUUUUUAUUAAGAAAUUUAUUUUAUUUUUAAAAUUAUUAUUAUUUAAAAAAAUUAUAAAUAAAAUGACCUAAUACUUUGGAAUCUAAUAAGAUAAAAAAAAAAAAUAUUUUUUGAUCUUAAAUAGAUAUCUAUUAUAAGACUAAAUAAUUACUACAACAAAUUUAAUUCUACUACAACAAAGUUAAUUACUCAGUUGGAGUAGAAUAAACUUAUUUUUUGAUACAUUGUGUUAUUUGACGACUAAGGUCUUCAUUUUAAAAUUAUUUUUCUUCUUUAGAUAAUAUUAAGUUGUAUGCUUAGGUUCUCUAUAAUUUAUGCACAAUAUUUCUUGACAACAUCAAGUCUUUUCUUGCUCCAUGAUAGAUUUCAAAUGUACCAUUUUAAUUUUCAUAAGUUUUGGCUUCAAUAAAUAAGUUAUUAAAAGCUUUGGAGUUGUUGUCAAGACUUAACUUAUAUCUCUUCAACCAAAUAUUUGUUCUUGGUGUCUUUCAAAAAAUUAAUUGUUGCUUGUAAUGGCUUAAGCAAUAAAUUCAUUCAAAGAGUUGGUUUUUGGCAUUGUCAAUAAUAAAUCUUUAAUAUUAUCUUUUAAUUCAUAUUAAAAUUAAUUGAUAAGAACUUUGUCAUUUCAAUCUAUAUUGUAAGCAAGGUUUAAGAAUUCAAAAGCAUAUAUAGUAUCUAAAUUUGAUCUAUUGUAAAAAUAGGAGUUUAGUUUCUAAUAUUCUUUCUAAAUUACUUUCUUCCAAUGUGGCUAUAAACACUUUUAAGAAUGAAUUUAGAUCAUACAAGAGUCACAAAUCUUUUUUUAUGAGAGAUGCAAAUGAAAAGAGAGUAUUUUGAAAUAAAAGUACGUUUAUGACUCUAACUUAAGUAAAUCUAUUAGGAUACUAAGAAGAAUAUAAAAUUAAAUAGAACUUAGCUUGUUGUAGAAAUCCUCAAAAUCUAGACCUUAUUCUAUCAAACUUCUCUACCAUAUUAAUCUUUGAUCCCCUUAUACUUAUAAUAAUAAGAAUUUUAAGAUUAAUUUUUGAGAUAGAUCUAUUUAUUUCUUUCAAAUGUAUAAUUUCUUGGCAUAGAUUUUGAACUUCAUUAUUAACUUCUUCUAUAGGUAUAGGAAUAGUACCUUCAUAGUUGACGUUGAUAAUAUGUGAGAUUUUUACCUUAAGAUUAUUCACAAACUAGAGAAGAUUUGCAAUAAUUACAAAUCUAUUCUCACUAUUACAAAGUUUAGCAUAAUUUCCAUAAAGAAAUAUAGUCCACUUUCUUUAAAGAUAGAAUAGUUAUUAAAAAAAAAAAAAAAAAAAAAAAUGUUGGUUUCAAGGAGGGUAGUUUGCAACCUUUAAGACUCAACAAAUCAACCAGGAUAAUCUUUUUACUUUUAAAACAAAACAAGAAUAAUGAAUUAGCAUUCUUGACAAACUGCCAAAGACAUGAAUUACAAAAAAUAAAAGAUCAAUAUAUUCUUAUAUUACUAGAUAAAAAUAGAUAAUCACUCCAAGAUGGUAUAAUAUUAAGUUAUAAUGACUAUUACCAAAGACUAGAAAAUAAGAGGAUCUUGAAUAAGACUAAGAAUAAAAAAGACAUUGAUAAAAAUAAAGAAGAUUCUAUUUUUGAUUCUAUAUAUAUACUAUCUAUUUAGAAGCUAUGUGGCAAUAUUUUGCAUGAUCUCUAACACAUAUUCUAUUUGUAAGAUACGUAUCUAACUUGUAAGAUACGUAUCUAACUUGUAAGAUAAGUUUUCUAUAUGUGUGUCAUAUUGCCAAUUUUAUUUUUAUUUAAAUAAAUAAAAUAUUUUAUAAUUUAAUAUAAAAAUAAAAAUAAUUUCUUUUAUAUACAUUUUUUAAAAAAAUUAUUAAUGCUACAUCUCUAUUUGAUAUUGAUAUAUCCAAUGUGACCUUCACACAACUUAAUUCGACUAGAAAGUGCACUUUUAUACUUACUAUGAAUUUAGCACUUUAAUAUUUGAUUCUAAUAUUGAUUAAAAAAUGGAAUAAAUUAAAAAUUGGCUUUUGAUAGCCAAAUCAAUAUUAAUAAUAAAAUAUUUUUAAAUUAAAAUAUUUUUAGAAUAUUUUUUUUUCUUUGAAAAAAUAUCUUACAAUCUAUUUUUUAUAAAAUAUUCAUUAUUUACCUCUCAACCACCAUUCUUUUUAAAGAAAAGAAAGAAAAAUAUAUAAAAAGGAUGCAUAUUAUUAGCUAAUUUUUUACAAUUGGAUCACAUGGAAUAUAGCAAUAUCAAUUAAAGAUGUAGUGAUAUCAAUUGGAGAUGUAGCAUUUUCAAUUCUCUUCAAAAAUGAAAAACAAAUCUUCUCUAAAUAAAUAAUUUGAAAAAAAAAUUAUUAUAUAUCACAAGUAUAUUAUAAGAAUCUUAGUAUAUCAAAAUAGUCUACUUAAUAAAUAUAAAAAUCAAUUACUCCUUUGAUUUCCAAAAAAAAAAAAAAAAAAAAAAAAAAAACUUUAUUAUAAAUUAGAGAUUGAACCAUAUAUUUUUUUUAAUAGUGACUAAGUAUGCAUCAAUAGUUUUUUCACAACAUGGUGAAAUUCAUCAUGGAUGUAGGAGAGGUGUGCUCUUUGGAUCAAUUUGUCACACUUGAAAUGUAUUUUCAUUUCUAUGAAAGUGGACUAUCUGUUAAAAAAACUAUAGAUCAUGUUUUCUAAGCUUAUUAAUUAUGUAGAAUCAUUAGAAUAAGUAAGUGGCAUGCACAAUCUUCAAAACUUCAAAAGACAGUUGUAGAAAAUAAAACACUCUACAUUCAUAUUCAAUGCAAGUUGAACUGUAUUCAAAGAACUUUAGAUAAGAUUGCUAAUUUAAAAGUAUGAUGAAAACACACACUAAAAUUAAAGAAACCACAUGAAAUCAAAAAGCACAAACAAAAUGAAAAAGGGAUAUCGAUUCCACUUCAAAAGUACAAACAGAACUCGUCUUAGAGCAACAAUUUCUGCACAACGAAGCCAGAGUAUCUCUGAAGAAACAAAGUUUUACUUUAAAGUAAGUUAAAAGUUAAAGGUGAUGCGAUGUGAGCGCAAACCCGUUGUAGCGGGUACCCAAGCCCGCGAAAAACACAGGCCUCCGCCUUCGUGCGAGGCGGACGGGGCGUGGGGGCGAAGACGAAUCCUUGGAGCCGCAUGACGAGGUUGAGACCCCGCCGCGCUCAUGCUCGUCGCCGUGCCUGUUGUUGUGGAUAAGCAAGCAACAGCGUUGCACCACCCAAACCCACCUCCGCUGUGCCCCUCCCUCCCCGUCCCUUCCUCGGGGAAUAUACCUCCUCUACGCCUCCCUUGGCUCGCUGACAGUUUGCGUAUCUCGCGAAUGAGUGGCUCCGUCACUCGAACGAAACGUCUCACUUGUGGCGAGCUCCCCGAGUGGUUGGUUACCUGGCCUCCUCCUGGCUCUUAAAUAUGCACGCAAUCGCAACCUCCUAGACGGUUCGAUUCAUGGGGGGCGUGAGCGCGGUGCCCUGUUGCAAUCUGGUGGCGAGAAGCGUGUGAUUGAUGGUGUGUCGUUGUAGUGGAGUGGAGUGGAGAGUAGAGGAAACAGGGAUUGGAGUGGAGAGGAGAGGAAACAGGGAUUGGAGUGGAGCUGAGUAGUUUAGUGUAGGGAUUUGCUAGAUGUUUGCGGUGGGAUUGAACAUGGAGUCUGUGCUGUCUAGUAAUUCGCUGCGUGUGAGGUUCGCUUGUCAUUCGGUGACGCCGAGCUGCGCCACCGCUUCGGGUAGAUCCGUAGUCUUGUAUAGUAGAGGCGCGAGCCAUCGGGCAUUUAUCUUGCCCUCGUGUUCGGAGGUGCAUUGGACGGGCGGGAGGCAAUGCAUGUCCGGUGCGAGACGGUCGAACUCCGGGAGGACAAUCAAGUUGAGGAGUUCUAGGAGGCGCGUGGCAACGAUCAAGGCUAGCGUGACGGACUCCCGUAACUUGGCCGUAGAUCCACAAAACUCAGGGUUGAGACCUGGCCCAGAGAAGAAGCUGGUUCCUGCUGAAAUUGUGCCGGUGCCAAGUGUAAGGGAGGCUGCAUUGGCUGAGGGUGAAGAGCCCGGCGAAAUUAGCGACGAGCUAUGGAAGCUGCUGGUGCUGGUUCCGGAGCACAUAGGGCAGAAGUUGGUGGCGCACCCCGAGAUCAAUGACUUGGUGGAGAUUGUACUUGACUUGGGGCGGCGGCCUCUGGCACGAUUUCCUUCCGGCGAUUGGUACGUCUCGGAGUCGAAAGUUACUGCUCAAGAUUUACAGCACGCCAUUUCCAUGGUACUUUUCUCCUCAUUUCACCAAUGCCGUCAAUGUAUGUUGCAAACAAUUCAUUGUAGGGUUUUGACAGCAAUCAAGAGCUUCAUGGGGUACUGAAUUUGAGCUAUAAUUGGUAAUUACAGACUGGGGAAUUUGGCGACGAUAACCGAGCAGGUAUUGAUCGCACACUUCACCGUGUGAGCGCCAUGCGAACUCGAUCUGGGAGUGUUGUGGGGCUCACUUGCCGAGUUGGGCGAGCUAUCUCCGGCAGCGCUGAGAUGGUCCGUGAUCUGAUUGCCAGCAGUAGUUCUUUGCUGCUCAUGGGACCUCCUGGUGUCGGCAAGACUACUGCAAUUAGGUAUGAAUCGUCCCACUAGAUCAUUGGGCUCGGGAUGCAGAAACUUUAAAAACUAUUACUAUGAGUUUAAUCACAGGCAAAUGUAAUUCGCGCAGGGAGAUUGCACGCAUGUUGGCUGAUGAGUAUCACAAGAGAGUGGUCAUUGUGGACACAUCGAAUGAGAUAGCUGGUGACGGUGACAUUCCUCACGCCGGCAUUGGUAUGGCACGGCGGAUGCAAGUGCCCAAAGUCGACUUACAACACAAGGUAAACAUCAUAAUUAAUCUGCGGCGUUGUCAUCGUUUUGGUGAUUGAUGUCUCAAUGUUCAUCCAAUUCAGAAUUUCAACGUGACUCUCAAGUAUGCGUCCCUUGAAUCUUGAUCUAUUCGCAUGUGGUUGCAGGUGAUGAUUGAAGCGGUGGAGAAUCACAUGCCCCAAGUGAUCGUGAUUGACGAGAUUGGAACUGAGUUGGAGGCAGUAGCGGCCGGCACCAUCGCCCAACGAGGAGUGCAGCUCGUGGGCACUGCACACGGCAUGACGGUUGAAAACCUGAUAAAGAAUCCGUCCCUUCAAAAUCUGGCCGGGGGCAUUCAGGUACGCACACCAGGGUUUGUUCUUCUUACUUUCUAUUUAAUUGCAGCUUCUCUAAUAACCAUGUCCUCAUUCAUUUCACUUCAGACUUAUGCGUUGGUUCCCAAAUGAAAUGCUCACAAGGUUGUUGGGAUGGGUGUGAAAUUGGAGGUGGUCUAAAGAGUGUGACACUCGGUGAUGAGGAAGCUCGGAGGCGACGAGUGCAGAAGAGUGUGUUGGAGCGGCAGGGGCCUCCCGUGUUCACAUCUGCUUGCGAAAUGAUCUCACGAACCGAGUGGCGAGUGCACCGCAGCUUGGCCGCUACAGUGGAUGCGUUGCUUGCUGGUUGGUUUCCCUUUCUUCAAUCGUAUCUACGACGCUCUACAUUGCAUUUGUUGCACGUUUUCUGUUUCACGGCCGUAUCGGAGAAUCGGAACUCUAAUGGAUUUUUGAUGAGAAAACUCUCUUGUGUCUACACUAGGUAAAUCGCCAAGGGUAGAGGUACGUAAAAUGAACGAGAAUGGGCAGGUGGUCGUAGGCAAUUUGGCCGAGUACCCUUCCCCAUCAAGACCAGGCAGCUCUACCUCUGGAUCAAGCUCGUCAUACGAUCUGGACUGGACUGAUAAUUAUGAGGAGGAUGAUUACGCGGGCGGGGACACCGGCGCAGAGAACGCAGCUGUGCAGGCAUGGGAGCGCUCUGAUGCUCCCAUUCUCUUGUAUCUUCACGAGGUAACCAAUCCUUUAGAGUUCCUAAAUUAGUGCAAAUUACUUUAACGGGAAUCUCGUUGAUCCUCAGCAACGGAGCUUUUGAGCCAUGGAUUUUGUUCUUUUGUAUGUGCUCUCGGCUGGGCUGCCACAGGUCACAGAAGAAUCCCUGGAGCAAGUGAUGGACGUCAUGGGUUUGGAAAACACAGUUCAGAUCACAGAAGACAUCGGAGCUGCUGAUGCGGUUCUAGCGCUCCGCUCGAAACUCAAGUUGAACUCUUGGGUCCGGGGUAUGGCCAAGUUUCGGCAGCUUCCUAUCUUUGUAAUCAAAGCCAACACUAUGGCACAAAUGGUGAGGGCCAUGCGUGCAAUUAUGAGCAUGGAAUCACUGGGCAAUAAUUCCCUCGGCUCCAAUCGGUUACGAGGUGACGACGGAGAGAAAUCCGAAUCGAUAAUUCACAGGCAACCAAACUCAGCGGAGGAAAUUGAUGCCUUAGAGGUAAAUCUAAAUAAUUGUAUGCUUUGCAUACGCACAUACACAUACCUGUGGUAGCCAAACUGCAAUCGUCAUGCCUAUCUGAGGUUUUAAAUUUGAUGUUUAAAUUGGUGCAGAAUGAAGACUGGGGGCUGACCUUGUGAUUAAACAUGGUGUUCAGGAGGCGCGAGUAGCGGUGGAACAGAUAGUGAUCCCCAAGGUUCAAGCUGUCGAACUUCUCCCCCGCUCCCCUGAAGUGCUGGCCUUGCAGGUGAAGCUCGUAGAGAGUUAUCAAUUAGCAUGGGAAAAGACUGGCUCCGGGAUGAACAAGAGGCUGCGCAUUCUCCCUAAGCAAUUGGUGGCUAGGAGCAGGAAUAGUAGAGGCAGCGAUCAGGAGGCUGACGAGGAAGCCUCGGAUAUAGAGGAUGAAGAAUUUGAUUCCGAUGUCGAGGACCUGGGUGUGUCGAUAGCGGGAGGCACAAGCCCCGGCAGGUUGCCCAUCCUUCCGGACUGAUUCUGGAGAACAUUCGUCUCCCUAAUUCACUUGUGCAUAAAUGUACACUUCAGUGUAAAAUUGUUGAUGCUAUAGUUUGCAAGCCAGUUCUGUGAUGUUGCUUCGUUCUUGGCCAAUCUUUGCUGACCGAGAUGCUAAAAGCAAUUAUUAACUUUCGGUUGAAAUCCGUAUAUAUUAUUGAGUUUUUAUGGUCCCACCAUCUGAGAUCCGAUUUCAUAUUGAUGCAACAGUAAUGUCUACAAAUUCGAUCGUCAAGAGAUAGAAUAUAAAUAACGAACCGAUUGUCUGGUGUCCCACUGCUGGUGGAAUCUUUUCCUAGUUACAUGAACAAGUCUUACAUAUCCCGCUAAGAGUAAAUACUGUAGUUACAAUGACUCCCAACGGGAAUAGAAUGUUACCCAUUUCCGAAAUGGAGGAACGUAUGUGGGCAAGUAUAUGUAAUGGCACAUGAUCAAUUGCUCUGCCACGGAUUGACUAAUCGACUCCCAACCAAGGCGAAUGGAAGUACCCUCAGAUAUUUCAUAACUCAAGGAUUAUGGCAUGAGCACUGCAUCUAACCUGCCGGAGACAGUUGACAGCACAAUGUACUCCUUUCAUCUAAUUUACACUCUUCUUACUCUACACUCUUUACUUGUCGGCCAUCCAUCGUACUACUGUCACCAUAAGAGUUGUGACCAUCAAUGAAGACAUUUUCGGAGCGACGUUCAACUAAAAGUGUCCAAGCAUCAUACACACCUAGUAGUUGAAACUGAUCUUCGUGGUGAAGUAAGUAGACAAUUUGGAGCUUUUCUUGGUGAAGGAGUAGACAAUUUGGAGCUUUUCUGCCCAUCCGUCAGCAGAGGCAGACAGAUAGUUGAGCCACUCCAGGCCAUUCACCUGGAGACUGAUGUUGGCUAAGGUGUCGAUCAUGACCGGCAGUGCACUUUCUCAAAAUUUAAGUACACCUCCGGCAUCCUCAGAGUGUGGAACCAGCUGGGUCAUGUCGUGUUGGACCAGUCGCAGAUCGUCACGCGGGAGCUCCACCUCCAUGUGAAAUUCGACAUGAUGUGCUAAUUAAUGGCGACCACCGCAGUCGUCCUGGCAAGGGAGCGAGUUUGGAGGACCUCGUUGACUACAGUCUGGGUGCAUGGUGAGGACGCUGUCGGGAAGCAGCAUGAAAGAGGCACUGGCAUUGCACACCAGUUCAGGAUUUUCCGCACAUCGCAGGCGCAAGUACGAGGGAUAUUGUAACUUGUAUAUUCUAGGGUUAGGGUAAUAUAAGUUCAGUUUUAGAGAGUAAUAUAUUUCUUAUUAUUUUGUUUGCUGUUUUUGCAUUGUUUUGUACUGUCGAGUAGGGCACAACUUGAAGCGUUGCACCUCCUCGAUGGAGUGCAGUUCUUUGACACCUCACGCUAAUAAGUUGUAACCGUUCUAUUCUAAUAUGCCUUGUUAAUUUGAGUGUGGUGUUGAUGUAGGUUGGGUUUUCUUCCAAGAACGCCAAUUACCGGAGAUGAGGGGUGAGCUUUAGACCUGUGAGGAAUUUUGUGAAGAUAUAAACUCGCAUUUCGGAAGUAAGGCAAUAUUGAAAGCGAAUUUUUUGUUGGGUAGUUAACUGGGGAAUAAAAUGGUAGCGAACAACUAUAUGCUUGGUUUGCGAAUGAAACUUGGUCGUAUCGACUAAUGCGAGUGCCAACUGAUUGUCGCAUUGGAUGAGAGUGGCUUCAUGGAGGCUCGCGGCUUGAUAUAGGUCAUGAAAGAGGUGCCACAGCCAAUUUUUAGGAAGCUCAAUUAAGACCCAUGUUUUAUUGGCUGCAUGCAAGUUAAGUUCAUCGGCAAUGGCGGUCUUCCAUUGAGCAGCUUCGAGCGAUGACAGCACUUGCUUGUAGGUCGUGGGUUUGAGCGGAACUAGAGCCAAGGAGUAAAGAGCGUAUUUCUUCGAAGGCGAAAGAGGAGGUUAUCGUCGAGGGAGUAAGAUGUCGGGAUUGUAAUUUUUAUUGGGAUCUUGAGGGAGAGGGACAUUCUUCGUAGAUUACUAUGAUAAGCAAUGUAGAGUACAGGCACCAUGCGGAGAGAUUGCAAAGCAUCAAGUGCUUCAUCAUGUAUAGAUUCAAUCAAAGGAGACCGCAGUUGAUAGCUCCAAGGUGGCCUAGAAUGAUGCCCAAUAUGGGGCAUAACUUUGAGGCCAGACCACACAUCCACAUAUAGGGGGGGAGAGUCUGGAUGUAAUUGUACCAAAUGGUGGAGAAAACCUUCAUGAUCAUCAAGCUAAUCAAUAUGCAGAGCAAGGUCUAGUGGCAGAAGAGUAGGUGAUGGAACUAGUGAUGUGGCCAGUGGCAAAUUGUUGGGAUUGAGUAGAUUAGAAGAAGCUGUCAGAGGCAACACUGUAUUGAGUUGGGACUGCAGCAACUACAUAGUCACUGAUGGUGAAGUAGGAGAAUUUGCAGGGAGUGGUAACAAGGAAAUAGUAGGCACAACAUCCUUGGACACAGAUUUUAAAAAGUCUAGAUUUAGUCUAUUAUUCCAAAAGAAUAAUGAAGAUACAAAUCAAAAGCUAGAGAGGGAGAUGCUGUAUGGCCAGAAGGUAGGCUCUCUUCCAGAAACACAACAUUGCAUGAUGUGAUCAUGGCUUUAGUUUGCACAUCUUUAAUUGACCUUGUAUACCAUUGUUUGCUAGGUACUGAUCAAAAUCAGAGGAGAAGUAUUCUCCUUCUUGAUCAAAACAGAGAGUACAAAUUAUAUAAUUAGUUUGUUUUUCUGCUGUUACAUGAAAGUUCUUGAAAAACUCAAAGCACUCACUUUUUUUAGCAAAGGAGCCUAAUGAUGAUAUAUCUUGAAAAAUUGUCAAUAAAGUAAUGUAAUAUUUAUAUCCAAAAAAAGUUGGUGCUACAAUUCUGCUACUUAAGUUAGAAUGUAUAAUUUCCAAGGGAUAAGUUGCUUUGAAUGUAGCUUCUUUAGGAAAUUUUGUGAUAGUCUAUUUUCCAUGGAUACAUAAAAGCAUGUACCAGAGGGAAUUGUUUUGAGAGAGACUUCAUUUAUUGUCUUAUUUUGGAUUAGUUGUUUCAAUCUGGAAUUAUUGAUAUAGCUAAGGUGUCGAUGCCAGAGGUUGACUUAGGUAUGAUCUGUUGGUCGAGAAGGUGUUUUAGUAGAUAGUUUGAUGCAAAAGGCAUAAUAAAGUUGGCAGUAGGCGAUGGUGUUGGGUUGGGUGAUGAUCUGAAGCAAAGACAUUGAGGUGUAUUGAUUAAUAAUUUUUUGAAUGGGGUUGUUGUUUUGAAUUUGGAUCUGAAGCAUAGUUGUGAUUGUUCUGAAAGUAUGGUGAGCAGGAGUUGUUGAGCCAAAACUGAAUAGUGAUGUCAUUGCAAGUGUCAUCAAGAUGCAACCAUAAGAAGGAAAUUGUGUUGAUGUUGUUAUAGCUAGAAGAUUGUGUUGGAGUAGAGAUUGGUGAGAAGAGUGACUUGCCAAGAUCUUCUAUUAAAAGAUGAGAGCUUGCAGCCAUAAGAGGCAUUGGUACUGAAACUGCUAUGUUGAUAUUUAUUAGAGCAACAAGGAGUGUCAAACCCAAAAGAUAGAUAUUUUUUUGGAAGAAGACACCUAGUGAGGAUGUGAUCAUUACAAUCCAUUAGUUUAUAUUUUUGGUUUUUUAUUAGAAGUCCUAUUGUUUGAUUGUAUGUACAAACUAAAAACAAAUUUUUGUAUAAAUUUGGGACAUAAAAAACAUUUGAGAGGCAAAGUAUGUGCUUUUUUUUCUAACUGAAUUUUAUCUGAUCUUUGUUUAUAGAUUCAAAAUAUUAUAUUGUCUCCAAAAUGCACUUGAUGAUUAUUAAGUUAGAGAAUUUGAAAAUCAAUAAAUAAUAUUUUAGUAUAAGCUAGAUGGUAUGUAGCUCCUAUAUCGACAAACCAUUGAUUGUCUCUAGAAUCUCCAGAUUGGGUGGAUUUUGCUGAAUAUAAUACUUGUGUGAAGUAGACAUGACCAUAGAAAGAAGGUGGGAUUUCUUCUAUAACUUCACCUUUCCAUAUUGUUUUUGGUUUUUUAGAACUGUAUUUAGCUAUGGCAUAAUUUACAGUAGCUUUGUUUUUGUUCUUAAAUCAAUUCAAUCUCCAAUGUUCCAUCUUCUUACAAUGAAGACAUGGAAUUGUAAGCUUGGUUUUGGAUUUGUUGUUUUUAUAUUCUUUUGAAUAUUGUUUUGGUGGUAGCUUUAAUUGCUAUUUAUCUUUGCUUUUUUGAUGGAUGAAAAGAGCUUGUGAUUUAGAAGAAGAGCCUUUCAUGGUUGUCUCCUCCUAAAGAAGAAUAGAGAUUUAUUUAGAAAGUCUUACAUUUCUUAUUGUUCUUAAUGUUUAUAUAAUAGUUCCAUAUUAUGAUGGCAUAGAUCUCAUAAGAGUUAAUAUUUUUAUUUGUGGUGGGAUGACAAUUCCUACGGCAUCGUAUUAUUGAAGUAAUUUUUUAAAAUUAUAUAGAUGUUGUAUUACUGAGUCUCAUGCUCUCAUCUUUUAUGUGAUGAAUUUUUCUUAUAGGUGUGCUUGAGUAAUUAUAUCACUUACUCAAUAUAUAUUUUCAAGAGACAUCCAAGCUUCAUUUGUUGUUUUGCAUACUCCUACAUGUGAAAAAAUCAAGUUAUCUACAGAAUUCUAUAAUGCAAUAAGUGCCAUUUGAUUUUUCUUCUUCCAUGUGAGUAUUUCAUUUUGAUUUGUUAGUGAUAUUUUAGUUGUUGAAUUUGGUUCUAAGAUAGGAAUUGGUUCUUUUUUAAUUCCUAAAAUUAGAUUCCAAACAUCUUCUAUUUCAAAUUUUAUUUGAAUUUUUUGUUUCUAGAUUGAGUAUCAUAAUCCAUUAAACUUAGGCAAUUCUUUAGUAGAGAGUUUGUUUGUAGCCAUAUUCCUAAAAAAAGAGGUUUAUUGGUACUCUAAUUUCUUUGAAAAAUAUCUUCAAUAAAGCCUCCUUCUUGUGAAUUUUCUUGUUACUUCUUUUCUAAAACUUGUUUUUUUAAGUUUUCAAAGAGAAUAUUUGAUACUAUAUUUAAACUUAUAUAUUCUAGGAUUAGAAAAAUAUAAGUUUAGUUUUAGAGAGUAAUAUAUUUUUUUAUUAAUUUUUUUUAUUAAUUUGCAUUGUUUUGUAAUAUCAAGGAAGGCACAACUUGAAGGAUUGCACCUCCUUGAUAGGGUGCUAUUCUUUGAUACUUCAUGCUAAUGAAUUGUAACUGUUCUAUUCUAAUAAGGGACAAUAGAGUCACUAAGAUAUUUCAAAGGCAUCUUAAUUAUAGCCUCUACAUAUAUAACUUUUUACUUCUAAAAAGUGGUUGUGUCUUCUUAGAAUUGGAAUAGAUAGUUGGCUUGAACUAGUGAAAAAUGCCACACUUAAAUUUCCCAUCUCUAAUUGUCCAAUUCCUAUUGGAAUUACUUAUGAGUAAUAGUCAAAGCAAUAUGUAGAAUUCUUGACUACAUAUGGAUAGUGUGAUAUUAUCACGAGGAUGUACUUUGUUUUCACUAUUUAAGAACAGUUGAAAUUUUAUAAAUUGUUGUUUGUUGUGGGCCAAACAAUAUGAGGUAUUGAACCAUGUUCAAUGAACAUUGUUCAUUUUUUUUUAAGAUAUCUCAAAAAUAAAUGCUUGUGUGAGAUAGACAUGGGCAUAAAAUGUGGGAGAUAUUUCUUCUACAUUUUUUGACUUCUAUGUUUGUUUAUUCUUGUCAUUAUUGUAGGGAGAUGUUGCUAAAAUUGCAAAAUUCUUUGCUUCGUUUUUGAAGCAAUCGGAUCUCCAAUCUCGGCAGCGGCUUCAAAGUCCGAUGCCCUUGCCCAAAAGUACCCCAAAAGUGGAAGCUUAAGAAUCUUCUCAACUCAAACUAUUUUUUUUCUCUGCCUACAUUAUCUCAAUGCCGCUUUGCAAUGCAAGAUCCCACGGCAACAGAAUCCUCACACUGCGAGAACCUGAGAGUUGCCACGGUAAUUCUAAAGACCAAUUGACUUUAGUGUUAAUUCUGCAUACUGUUGUGGACAGACUUCACUUGUUCCACUUUUUCUGCUUCAAUACUACCUGCAGUAAAAGUUAUUGCCUUCGCAAUUUUCAAAAAACUGUGGUGAUGAACUUCUAUGCUGAAAGUACUCUGAAUGUGCGCUUGUCCCUUCUGCCAACCUUCAAAGCUCAGGUUAGCUCUAAUAUGCAAUUUUGUAAUGCUGUGAGGUGCCCAUACCUGGUGCAAUGGCUUAAUAAAUGAUAAAAAAUACUGAUGUACAUUCGUUACCCUGCAUGUAGCUUCAGCUAACUUGAACAUGAACAUGAAGUAAAACUGCUCCACGCAAAGAAUAUGCCAGUUCAAUCUAGAUGCUAUUGAUUUGGAAUAAAUUAAUCGUGGACAUUGUUGGUGGUGGAUGAUAAGAAGGGAUUGGAGUUGGUGAAAGUGAGCUUUCUGACUGGCCGACCUCAACAACCUCUCUUUCAUUGAGAAUCAGGUAAUGAACUUUUCAUGAGCUGUAUUCUUAGUUAAAGUUGCAAUCGUUCUCUCCCAUCACGCAGAUGCUAGUGCCGGUCAUAAACGACCAUCAAUUAGUCUUGCCAGCUGUAUCAAUACCUCAAACUAAAAUCUUGUUUGCGUGUGAUAGAACUGGAUCCAUUAGGUCAAGUCUCAGACUUAGUGGAUGGCGACGCCAAAAACCUUAGUGAAUGUGCAGACACAGCAGGAGCAGGCUCAUAAUUCGUGCUUAAUCAGCAAUAUUGGUAGUAUCAGUCAAUGAUAUUUGACAGUAAUUUCAUCCUUAUGUGAUACUUCGGCAUUAAAUGAAACGAGCAGAAGUAAUGUAUCGGCUGUGGAGUGCUUACAUCAUCAUUGAGUGGCUGCUAUUGCAGAAUCUUCAACCGUAGCCAGAAGCAUCCCGGCACACAGCCGAGAAGUACCACGAUCAAGGCAUGUCUUUCAAAAGAGAAACCAUCAACCAAACGAUUGAAUUGGAGGUCCAAAACCUUCAUCCAGCCAUUAGACCCAUUGUGAUGGAUUCCAAGAUUCUCAACGUAGAAGCGACCUGUCAACGAGGACAGCUGUUUGGAUGGAUUUGACAAACACGCCUUGGAUGUUAAUGAGAUAUAUCUAGACGUUCGGGAUUAACCACCUGGUUGCGGAGAAUGAAUAAAUUGCCGACGCUUUCUUCAUCCUUUCUUCCAACUGGGUCAAGGCUUCCAGGCUAAGAAUACACGAGAAUCACCCACAUGUAUCAGCAUGGCUAGCAACGGUAACACCAGCCGCCCAGCGUUUUAAGCAAGGUGACAACUGGAGUUGUGCACAAGAGCCUUUGAUGCAGCAAAGAAUUGUCUCAGAAUAUAGCUUCUGCAGGGUGUCAAUUACUGUUGGACCCAGUACAGCCAGUUAUUUUUAACAAACGUUACUCAAAGUAAAGUGCAGAUUAUUGGCAACAUUUCCAUUGAGAUUCAAUGGUCCUUUCAGCAGAUUCUUUGUGGUGCUUGCCCGCUAGAACAAAAGUUCCUGAGACAUGCUAUCGCUGUCUACACGAACAACAUGAUAGAUAUUUUAAGAUCCAGUCGACAUUAUGGUUAGUGUGAUCCUUAGGGUUCAAGUUGCGUUUUAUUGUUCCAGACAUAGAAAUGAAUUAGAGUGAAUUUACUUACAAUUGGGUUCUAUUAUUGACUUGUCCAAAAAAACAUCAUAGAAUUGAAUACCAAACAUGUUAAAAGUGACAGGAGUUUCUUCUGAAAGUGGUUUAAUUAAUUGGGCAUCUUUGUCUACAACUGUGAUGUUUCAAUAAUUCUUGCUUCAUAAAUUUGCUCUGAGCUAUAGCUUUUACUGAUUGUAGUGACUGAGAGAACAAAUUAUGAGUUCUAUGUAUUCUUCAAAAAUUAAGUGCACAACCGAAAUUUCUUUUAUUUUUGUUAGACUCUUCAUUUUUCACAAUCUCUUUCAAUUUUGUAGUUUUUUGAAUUGGGCAUUCUUUCAACAUACAAGUCGCUUUUUUAGUUAUAAAGUUAUUCCAAAAAAUAAUGAUUUUUGAUGGUUAAUAAAACUUUUUAGAUGCAUCUAUAAGUACAAACAAAGUAUAAUAACAUUACAUCAAUAUAAAGUUCAAAAUAUUUGUUGUAAUGUGAUAAAUUUUCAUAAUCAAUGCAAUAUAUAUAUAUAUAUAUAUAUAUAUAUAUAUACUUACUUGUAUAUCUUUAGAUAGUUAAAUUCAAUUUGUAUUUUAAAAAAAUCAAACAUACUUUAAACAUAAUUUGGUUAAUUUUAAUUACACUCUAAUUUCAAUUAAAAGAAGAAUUGUAAAAUUAUUUUUAAAGAUUGAAAAAAAAAAUUAAUUAAUUAAUAACAUAGAACUUUAUAGUUUGAUAUAUAUAUAUAUAUAUAUAUAUAUAUAUAUAGUUAUUUUGGUAUAGAAUUUUGUUUUUAAAUUUUCAAUAUGUUCUAUAUUAAAUAUUUUUAUCAAAGCUUAUCACUCCUAUUAUAUGGACAACUUCUAAGAUAUAAAGGAAACAAUUUAAAAUAAUUUUUCAUAUAAAAUACUCAAGGUUUUUUUUAUUAAUGUACCUUUGAUUAGAUUAGGAGCAUCUUUGAUGUAUUAAUGCCAUUCUUAAAUGAAUCCUCAAUAGUAAUUUUUUUUAUAAAUCUCAUAAUUAGUUUUAAAUACAAUAAAAAAAUAAAAAAAUAAAAAAUGAUGAAUGUCACUAUUUGCAUCGAUUUGUGAUAAAAUUGGAUCUAUUGCAAGAUCUAAUGCAUAUAUUUCUAUAAAACAUGGUUUUGAAAAUCUAAACAAUAUAAGAUAGGAGUUAUGUUAAAAUCUAUUUUUAAACUUUAAAUGGUGCUUUGAAAUCUUUACUUCAUUACAAUUUAUCUUUGCAAGUUAAUUACAAAAGUAAGGCAACAACUUGAUAAAUAUUUAUCCUAAAAUUUGAUAAUAGUUGAAAAGUUUUUUAAAAAUUAGAAAUGAUUUAAAUAGUAAAAAUUAUAAAAUAUUUUAAAAAAUUGAAGUUUAUGAUAAAGAAAUGAUUUGAGUAAACACAUGCAUCAAAAUUUUAAAAAUUUCUACUUGAUUUUAAAUAGAAGAAUGUUGUACUAUUUAUUCAAUUUCUUUAUAAGUUACAAUAUGGUAUAAAGAAAUUAUUACUUAAUUUUUUUGAUCUUAAAAAAUUAAAUCGGAUAAUUUAUUUUAUCAUCAAAUAAGACAAUAAAAUUUGUGACUUUAAAUCUUUAAUUUUUAUGAUAUCAUUUUGAUGCUUCUAUGUUUUUGUUGCAAAUACUUUUGUCAAUCAAGAUAUACAUUUAGAUGCAAAAGAUAUAGAAAUUUAUGCUAUAUGUUUUAAUCUUCUUACAAAAAAAUAAAAAAAAUAAAUAAAUAAAUAAAUAAAUAAAACUAAUAAGAAGUAUUGGAGAAUAAAAAUGUAAUGCUCAAGAUUUUCUUGAAAAGAAGUAAUACUACAAAAGAAAGAAUAAAAUUUAAAAGGAAUAGAAUGUAUUUAAUAACAAGUUUAUCCAACAAGAUUAGAAAUUUUAUAGCUUGAUUCUUACAUAAUAUUAUAUUAUUUGAAUUAUUUUUUCUUUAAUAAAAUUAUUUGUAGGAUCUAGAAAUUUUAUAGCUUGAUUCUUGCAUAAUAUUAUAUUAUUUGAAUUAUAUUUUCUUUAGUAAAAUUAUUUUUAGGAUUUAGAAAUUUCAUAGUUUGAUUCUUGAAUAAUAUUAUAUUAUUUGAAUUAUUUUUUCUUUAAUAAAAUUAUUUGUAGGAUCUAAAAAUCCAGUAUUUUUUAUUUUUUAUUUUAGAUUUUGGUGCCUAUUUGUUUUUUUUCUAAUAAAUGAUUUAUUAUAUUUUAUAGAAUAUUGUUAGUAUAAAUAGCUAGAUUUAUACAUGUAAAAAUCAUAGAUAGAAAACUUGUAUCUUUUUAAGAUGCCAUCUAUAAAACCUAACCAAAAAGAAAUAAUUAUAAAAGGUCAUAAAAGUUGAUUAAUAUUUAAUAUUUUGAAAUUUCCAAUAAAUUAUAUUAUAUAUAUAUAUAUAAAAUAUUAAAAUGGAUUAAAUUUCUUCUUUUUUAUCAAAAAUAUAUAUUGUAUUUAAAAUAAAAAUAAAACCCUUUUAAUUAUUAGAACAAGGAUAUAUAUAUAUACCACAAAAUAUAGAGAUAUAUUUUUUUAUUUAUAAAACACCAAGUGUACAAUCAUCCUAUGACUUAAUAAACACAUUACAUAGUCUAAGAUUCAUAAUAUUAAAUGAUUAAUUUUUAAUUUUUUAAUUAAUAAAAAAUUGGUUGGAAUUUUAUUUUAUAGAAUUAUUAAUAUUAGAUAAUAUGAAUAUAAUAUCUAUUAAUAGAAGAUCUUGCAAGCCAUCAAACAUUAAAACUAUGUUAUACAUAUCAUAAUUAUAAUCUUUCUUCUAAGACUUCCAUAUUAUUUAUGAUUAUUUUCUUAUCAUAUUUUUUCAUAGGAUUAAUAUCUUUGCUUCAUUUUUUUUUGCAUCUUAUCCAACAAAUUAUUGUGAAUUAGUUGUGUUUUAUAUGUGAAUCCUUCCAACCUACUUUUUAAAUUUAAUUUGUGUCGAACGAAUAAUUAUCUUUAAUUCUUACUUUUAAAAAUUCUAAAUGUUGACUUGUGGCAAUCAUAUCUUAUAUAAUUUUCUACAAAGCAUUAAUUGACUCAUUUUUUUGACACUCAUAUGAAUGUUAAACAUUAGUUGGUUGUUACAUUAAUGGUUAGAAUAUAAAUAUUUUUUAGAAAAUAAAAUUCUUAUCUUGUUGUCUUAUACAAUCACAACUAGGUUGACAUGACUAAAUGCAUCUUCUCUAACUUUCUACCUCAAUAUGGUUAAAUUUAUAGGUAUUAAAAUGAUGUAUUAAAAUUCUUUUGUUAUUUUAAUUUUACUAUUAAAGAUAGAAGCUCUAAAAGAAUUAAGAAAAGAUUUUGUUUCUUACUUUGUUUAUUUGAACUCCAAAAGUAUUAAUCCUAAUAAGUAAUAUAUGUAAAUAUUGAUUUGAUAAAUUUUUAAUAAAUAAAAAUAUAUAAAUUAAAAAACUAUAAGUAUCAUUUAAUAUCAAUACAAGUUUAAUGCUUUUUUAAUUUAUCAGUUUAAUUUCUUUAUUUUAUUUUAUUAGAUUUAUUAAAUAUUAUAUAUUAUAUAUUAUAUAAUAAUAAAAUAUAUAAUUAAAAAUUUAAUAAUAAUGGAAAGUAUAAUCAUGUAAUUAUUAAUAUAUGUAUUUUAUAAUUAUGUAGCUGGAUAUCUGAAGUCAUAAUAUCAUAACCAAUAUUUGAAAUAGUUUCAAAAAAAGAUUCAAGAAGACUACAUAAUAAUUUUAGAGCAUGUAUUUCUUUUAGAAUUUAAAUGGUUUAAGAUGUAUAUAAAAAUUCUAUUAAAUUAAAAUAAAUUAUUUUUUUGUGCUAACAAAUAUUUGAUAAAAUUUAAAUGUAUUAUGAUUAUAUUUUACCUUUAUUAUUAUAAAUAUUAUUCUAAUUACAAUUAAUUUUUUGAAUAACACUUAUGUACAAUAUAAAUAAAUUUUAUCUUAUUAAUGUCUUUCUUGAGUAUUAACUUGUGCUAUUUGUGUGACCUAUGGUGUCUGUCUUCUUAAGUGAUAGCUAAAGCUUCUAAUCUUAUUUCUUUAUUAUUAGAGAUACAUAUUUUUUACUUUUGGAAAAUAAAGAAAAAUUAUUCUAUAAUUUUAUUUAUCUUUUUUUUAUCUUUUUUAAACAUCAGAGGGUCUAUGCAAAACACCCAUAAACAAUGUCAAAAAUUAUGGUUAAAAUUCACAUUACCAACCUCUGAAUAGCAGCUUGUCAUUUUUUGGUAGUUGAAGUUCAUUGGAAACCUUGCUUUUUGAUGUUUUAUUGAAGAGAGGUUCAAUCUCUUUGAUUGUAUUGUCCAUAUAUCCAAAAAAAAAAAAAAAAAUACAAACACAAAAUCCCAAACAAUAGUUGCAUUACUAAAAAAAUGUCUUAAUUGCAACAAAUAUUACAUAAUUUCAGAACUAAUAAGAAGGUAAUUGAAAAACAUAGAUACCAACUUGAACACACACUAUGUUUUUUGCCUCAUAAAAUAUCAUAUCCUACAUGGAAGGAAAAAGUUAUCCCUUUCUUCUACAAGAACUUAAAUAAAUGAAAGCUAGGUGGACCCAAAACAAAAAAAACUUCCUCUCCUCUGUGUAGAAUAUUCUUGUAAAUUAUGUACUGCGAACUACAAUUACAGUAUUCAAGAUGUCAAAAGAGUCUAAACUCACUGUGAUGGAAUUGAUCCGAAGCAGUAUUCCCAUUCCUUUUCCUCAAUCGAGUGACAUUUCCUGUAAAAAAAUGAACUGAUUCUGGUGGUGUCUCCAAAAGCAAGGAUGCAAUCGCUGACUAUCACCACCGUUUCUGCUACAGGGAGAAUGAGGACCCAGUAUCAAACAGUGGGUUUGUUUGUCAUGCUGUUGUUUUGCUAAGUGAAUGUGGGACAUCGAGGAUGAUGCAUGGGCCCAUGCUUUCAACCUUCGAGAUCCAAGAUCUGAAACUUCUUUAGCAAACUACAAACUCUUAAUAUGUUUAUAUUUAGAUGAAUGUUAAGAAUUGGUCGUAAGAGCUCAUUAGAGUUUGGGUGUUCGAACACGAGCAUGCCGAAACCUUGACCAUCUAAUAAAACGGUUUUUUCAGAAAGAGCUUUUAAUAUUUACUCCUAUAGGAUCUUGGAAAUCAUAGUGUUAUCUCGUCUGAAAGUCCCUUAUGGUGAUAUGAAUUGAGCUGGAAAUUCAUAGCACUGACAGUCUCACCUUGGCAGACCCUUGGACGAUAUGAGAUGAGUAUAAUCAAGCAAUAAAAGCAAGGCUCUGCAAAACUUUGCCAACAUGCACUGCAAAAGAGAACACAGAAGUCAAGCUUUCAACUCGCAACCAAACACCAUAUGUGCUGAUGCGCAUGAAGCAGUAGGUGAUUUUAAUUGGUGAAAUGAGCGGGGAAUUAGUAGCAUAAUCCUGAGUGCUAUUGCGGAGGAACUACUUAAAUAGAAAACUAAACGUUUAGUGUUCAAGUCUACAUAUUAUUGGUAAUCCUUGCUGUUUGGAACCUGCAUUCUUUGUCUAUCUCAACAGCGUUGUCGAACAUACAAUUGUUUUCACCAAACAAACCGUCCUCUUUUAUAGUCCCUAAGUUACAAUAGUGAUAUGUAAGAUCCAAUUUCGAAUUGCAACUGCUUCUAAGUAUGUUCAUAAGUGUUGCAGACUUGAGACUGCCCUGUUGCCCCAAGCUGCUCACAGGAAAAUUAGAACCAACGGACGCACAUAUUGCCACCACAAAUGAGGACUGUACAGCGUUCGGCAUGUUUCAAAUGAACAUUUCAAAUGAUCUACCCUAAGGUAUCUUUAAAAGUCUCCACUGGUCAAAUUAAUCUUGACACAGAAAAUGAAGGCACCAAUUGAGUUUCUUUCACGUGUAAAAUAACGUUCUUGUAACACCCAAGAAUUGAGGGGGUUAAUGAAACUAUCUUUGAGCAUGCUAUGGCAACAUCAAUGAAUCUGGAAGAUGACAUUUAACAACUAAUGUAAGAUGUCGGUAUGAUUAUGAGGGUAUGACUGGAGUGGCUAUGAAUCGCUUCAGUAUAUUGAAGUACGUUUUGUCAAUUACUCCUGCUCAAGAUUGCUGACGAUUGCUCAUCAGCAAAAUGCUUGACUGCCUCAGUUUACUACAAAUGUGCACCAUUUUAAUGAGCGACUUCAUCAAUCUAAGUGCGGUUCAGAUUAAAUAUGUGCAAAAAGGUUCCUGUGAGAGUCGUACUGUUGAAGAAUGAUCGUUCCAGCAGGGCCAAGCCAAGAAUUCAUGAAUUGGCCACUUUAGAACCUGUAGCCAAGAAUAGCAAUGUCAACAUGUGGCUCUAGAAUCUGAAUCCUCAAACCAAUUGCGACUGUCCGUAUUACAGAACAGCUAUACAGCCUGGUACAGUGGGGCACCAAACAUCCGACACAAGUACCAUAAUUAAAGCAAUAAAUGUUUCACAGAAAUAUCAACGUGCAAUUUACGCCUGCUCACAAAGAGAAUGCUGUGCAAGACAUGGGUGAGGUGUAACUUUUUGCAUUUAGAGAGAGAGCAAGAGAUCCCCUCAAAAUAUCUGGCAUGACUUAAGCUAGUAUUUUCUACCUGCAUCAAGAUAGUAUUUCCCCUUAUUCUGUGGUGAUCACAAUUUCGAAUUACUAAGCCCGAGGGAAGAUUCAGGACUAACAUUUCAAUGGUUCUAACAUUCUACGGACCAAGAGUAUAACCAAAAGCUUGCCUCUGUGGGGGCUAGGUAAUGCCCACCGAUCCUUUGCGGAAAGGUGACAUCAUUCCAGAUAUGCAUGGCAGACUAUUGAUUGACCGAAUGUGUGACUUAUAAUAGUGAUACUGGUGGAAAAUAAUUAUGGAAGAAAACAUUAUAUCCAAGAACCGCUUCAUUCUACUAAGGAACGCCGCAAGAAGACCACGGAUUGAGUAUUCUGUCCCUGAAAAUGCCAAAUCACUGGGCCAACGCUCUACUCCCCUUACCAAGAGAAAACAUUAAGAGAGCGAAACCAUCAAGAACAAUGACUCACAAACACGGAAAACGAUCUUCCAGAUUCAGAGAAGAAUGUGAUUGUAGAUUUAGCAUCAAAUAGAUCUUUCCUUUCGCUCUAGUUUCAGAUAAUUGGAAAAUCACGACUGUUUCCACUGAUAACAUGACAUACGACUGACGAAGAGAAUACGUUCAAAGGCAUUAUGAAGUAACAUUGAAAAGCUUGAAGCAUGAAUUCAUGCCACUUUAUUACAACGGAUAAAGUGUUGCGCUUGUCUACACUCAAGUCAUAUGGCUACAAGAAAAGGAAUGACAUACCUCGUUACUAACAACAUUAGACGUCAGCUACAAGAUGUUAAGAGAGAAGUGCGUGACUACUACGCUCCUAGGAGGAAAAAGGAAAUCAGAAGUAGAGUCUCUUGUCGACUUCUCGUCGCGUUUUCGCCUCUUUAAACCUGCUCAGAUGUAUGUCAUGCACAUUCGGCGAUACUCCUUGUGGAUGACUUUCUUGGUGUAAACCAGUUGAUGUCUCAGAGCCCUCCGUUGUACCUGUAGCUGCGAUGAUGCUGUGAAGUGAGCUAUCGAUAUCAGCACGAAAUAGUGGGCCUCCCAUAAUCACUCCGUGAUCUAGAACUUGCAAGGCUUCUACUGCCCGGUUGGCACGGUGGUGGCAUGAUGCCAAAGACAAGCAGGAGAGAGAGAAUGCGUCACGCCAUACCACAGGCACAUCUUUCCAAGGUCCUGCGUGUAACACCUCCCAAGCUAGUUCAUAAGCAGCUUCUGCAGCAUCCUCAUCCGCUCCAAACCAGGCCUUCUCUGCAAGCCCCGCAAACACUACGCCCCCUUCAUUGCGCACCUGUGAUAAUGGCAACCAACUUCAAAAUGUCCAUAUCAAAGCAUACAAUACUCCAUUCACUAACUUAUUCUUUACGAAUGAUAUUGGGUCUACCACUGUAAGAUCCUCGAACACAGUGAUCCCUCUCACUGGUGAGGUCCUCAGAUUUUCCAACACCAUAUCUUGUAAAACACGAAAUCUGAAAACACACUAUUUCGGUAUGAUUAUAACAAUUGCACCACCUCACUAACUCUGCACAACCUUCUCCUCAGUCAAUAAAUCUCAUGCAUCAAAACCUGUUAUCACAGAAGGCAAUCGCUCUCACAUUCACCGCUUUCAGAAAAUAAAACAAAAUCGCGAGGUCAAGGAAACAAAGGCAACCACACUCGUCAUUUCAGUGGAAUUGGACACCAGCAGAGGCAAUCGCAACUAGGUCAACGUGCCCAGACCUGGGUGAGAAACGCGAGCACCUGCGAUUCCGCAACGGGAGACAUGGGCAAAUUCUACAGCCGCUGACCUGCACUAUCAGUCACCGGGCACGACCUCCUAUGCUCCAAAUGCAGCACCUCCUAAUGCUUUCCCUCUGGCACAAAUGGCUCUCAAAGCACCACACCAUAUCAUUAGCACCGUCUACAUAACACUUCCCGACGCACAUGGAAUCGACCCCGUCUCGUCUGUGGCUAGUCUGCGGAUGGCACGCAUGCAUGACGCGUUUUAGAUUGAGGUUCCUGUUGCCGCGACACUAGUGCUGCUUAAUCUGAAGAGGCCUUCUGUUUCCACACCGCUUGUCUCUUGCCAUGUAACUCACUGUCUAGGCCAUGGCGGAAUAUCUGUCGUGCUCCAGCCUCAUUAUAUGGGAAAGCUCGAUGAGCUCCAUCAAGUGGACCGGUGCAACUUGCACCUGUCCAGAUCUUUUGCCUCUUCCAGAAUGGCGGUGCGGUCCCGCCUAUUUGUUUGAAUAAGCCAAAAAUCUAAAAGCUUUUUCUGCCCAUCGGAUCGUCUCCGCGGGCGCGAGGUUCGUGAUCACAACAGAAGUGGAUAUAUAGGAGAUCCGAAUCAGCUCAUGGAACUCGCCUGCGACAGAGUUUCCAGAUCCGUGCUCGGGUUAGUGAGCUUCGGGCACAUGCAUGCCCUGACCCCCAAGAUCGCAUGUGAUUGCAUGAAUGUGCGGCUAGAAUAUGAGAUAUGACAUUCAGACUACUCUUGACCCCUACUCUGGGUAAGAUGACCUGUGCUCUUGGAACCCAGGUGGCGCAUGUGCUGGAGUGACGCAGGGACGGACCUGCGCUACUUAUUGGACCCAACAGAAUCAAUGAUGUUGCGGGAGGCAUGCACACGGAUUUGCACUGUUGUAGAUGCAAGGGUAAGAAUCCACUACAGUGCACGAAGGCGAGUGGGGAGGUGGGGAGGGGAUAGUCUUCAAAGAGUCUUAGUUCUACCCGCAGUAAUGCAUGGCCCCACACUGCGCACCAUCGCCAGUAGUGCGAGAAUGCAGGCCGUCAUAAUGGGACCCAUGUAGGGCCAACCCUGAACCAAUGCAACCUUCAAUCCUCCCUUUCCAAACCGAGAAAGAUCGAUAUAUAUUUGCACCUUCCCUGCUCUACCUGGAUAUGUGACUAUGUGGCAGCGGUGCCUCAAAAUCCCACCCUCACUUCCCCAAUGGGAACAGUUCUCCUGAGAAGCGGCGCUCACGAGGGUUGUCACCGCCGAGGAUUAGCUCGGCACAGCUCAGCAGCAGGAUGAUGAUGUCCCUCCUCCAAACUAGGCAUUUAGUAUAUAACACUUUUGCUGAGGUGCUGGCAAAUCUUCUGAGGCUAGUUCAGUUCUAGAUUGUGCACCCCGUGCAGAGCAAACUAGACGUCAUCACCGAGACUGAGGUUAUGACGCGUUGACCUAGAUUCGGCUCCAUAAAUGGGCUCUCCUGCUUGAUGAAGAAUUGCCUUUGAUUGAAGCAUAAAAUAGUGGUGUUUCGUAGCUAAUGGGGUUGUGAACUAUAAAUGAUGUGUUUUAUUUUGACUUUUGAAAGGCUUUGACCUUGACUUGACUCUUUAGGGUAUGGGCCUUGAAACCCCACUUCAGACUUUGGUAUGCAUGGAUUACCUUAGUGCAAAAUUACUGGUCAAUAUGUAUUCUCAAGAUUGGGUAUUUUGAGCUCUCUCUCAAUAUAUAUAUAUAUAUAUAUAUAUAUAUAGUGUGUAUGUGUGUACGUGUGUAUUCACUUAUUUAUUUAUUUAUUUAUUUAUUUAUACACACACACAUAUAUAUAUAUAUAUAUAUAUAUUCUUACAAGGCAUUGGUGUGUGUAUAUAUAUAAUACAUAUGUUGAUAAACUGUGAAUGUUUCUAUUAGUUAUGUAGACCAACUUCAAAUAAAAAAUCUUCUCAGUAGAUACAAGUAAAGUUUGCUAUUCUCUCCAAGUAUUUUUUACAUUAUUUAAUGUCAUUGUAACUUAAAUCUUCUUUUUUCUUAAUGGACUUUUGAACAUUUUAAAGAGCAUGUUUGUCUCAAGCAUUAUUUUUCUUCUUUUUCUCUUUUUUUAUAAUUAUUCUUCUCUAUAUAAAAUUUUAUAAAUAUUUUUUGUAUGGAAUUUAUAGUUAAGAAUUUUUUUUAAAAAAAAAAAAAAAAACUUGAGAUGAUAUAACUUGACAAAAUAUUUUUAGUUUCAUUUUUUUUUUCUUCUUUUGAAAUCAAAUUUUCUGGUUCUUUGUUUGCAAAUGAUUCAAAUUUUAUUGCUCAAAAUAACUCACAUAUAUUAAAAAAGUAAUAUUAAUGAGGCCCAAACACUAUUUUUAUCACCCUACUACUUCUUAAGAACUUCAUGGUAACAUAAAAAGAAUAAAAAUUGAAAAUGAACAUUUUGAAAUGAAAGUUUUAGUCUAAUAUACAUAUCUAUUACACUAUAUUAUAUUCUUAUUUUUUUGUAUGACUUGAGACACUCUUAGAAUGAUUUUUUUUUUUAUGAUUAUAAAAAAAUAAGAAUUAAAAAGAGAAAAAUUAUAAAAAACUUGUAAAAUAGUUAUUUAAAAGAAUCUAGUAUAAUGAUAAGAGUUAGUAAUUUUUUAUAUUCUUUUAUUAAAUUACUCUUGGCAUUUCCAUAUAAUCUAAAGUAAUUCUAAGCGUUACAUCCUAAUAUAAAAAUUCAUAGGAUAUUUAUAAAAAAACUAAAAUAAAACAUACAUAUACCUAAAAAUUAACUAUAAAAUAAAUUAUAAAAACAUAUAUUCUUAAUUUAUUUUUUUAGAAGAGUUAUAUAAAGUAGUAUCUUAUUAAUUUUAUAUAAUACGAAAUAAAUUAAAAUUUUCAAAUUUUUAGUUAAAAAAUUGACUCUACAAAAUACAUGUUAUUUUUGAGAGAGAGAGAAAAAAAAAUUGAGCAGCCUACGUUUGUAUGUAGUAUCAAAAAAUCCUAUUGGUUGGAGUAGUAGGGGGCACUCAUUGCUAAGGUAUACUGUGUUUUAUUUUUAUUUUUAAUUGCAAUUGUGAGAAUAAACAUUGCAUCACUUUCUUUUUAAAUUGUAAGAAACAUGUGUGUUAUAGCAGUUAUCAGAGUAAAUGAAGCAACAUGGUGCACCACAAUUUGUAAAGUAGAUAUUAAAUUCAAAAAUGUGAUUUUAAUGUAUCUAAUUCAGAUAAAUAUUAAUCACCUUCUAAAAAUUACACAUUGCAUCUAAUCUUGAUCUUAUCAAUGUAUAAUGUUAUAAAGACAAUAGAAUAGAAUAUUCAAUAAAAUUUUAGGAUAUAUAUAUAUAUAUAUAUAUAUAUAUAAGUUCUUCUACUAUCAACAUAUAAUAUGAUAGAAAUAGUUUAAAAUAAAAUAAUUAUCUUAUUCAAAAAAUACAUUAGCAAUAGCAAAUUGGUCAUAUCAUUUUUGUCACCACCUAAAUUUGAUCCUAACACAACUUGUGAAAAGCAAAUCACUUUUCUUGCCAUAUACAUAAACAUUUGCAAAACAUUCUUUGUCUAAAAAAAUCUUCUAACUCAUAUUCAUAGAAAAACAAUGCCCCCUACCUGUUACACAAAUUAAAAAUCUCACACCUAUUGCACACACACAGCAAGCAGGAGCAGAACCCUUUGUCUACACUUGGCCAUGUGGAUGAUAACAUGUGGGAGUAUAUUCAUUUAUUUGGAGGAAGUGAUAAGUUGGGAAAGAGUGUUUGUGAAGAGCACGGAAAAUGCAGGACAAAAGAACUCAUGACUGUGAAGUUGCAUAUCUGCCAGCAGUAUAUAAGCAUAUACUACUUUCUGUAGAGUUCUGGAAUCCGACUGAACCAAAAGCUCUAAAACUUUCCAUUUUUAAGUGUUUUGGGAAAGCAACAUCGAUAACCCAUUGGCAGAUAGAGAGGUAACAAGUCUAACGGUAUAUGUUUGUUUUUGGUGCAAGUCCUCUACGUAUCACUGUUUGACAAUGAAGCAUUGCAGCCUACAGUAUCAUUGGAGCAGUUGAAGAAGUAAUUCUGGGAUGAUAUGCUUGAAGGAGUGGCAGUUGAGAAGCUUCGCUUUAGCACCAUAUCUUGUUCGGUGAAGGUAAAAUUGGGCUUCCUACGCGUGCAGCUAAAGACGGAGAAUGUGGCAUUUGCAAAUAUAUAGUUUCCAAUUCCCGUGGGAUCUAUCCUAACAGUUGUAGGCAUGGUCAUAUUCGGAAAGUCAUUGCUCCUUGCCUCCUUGCUCGGAGAGUUGUCAGAAGUCUUCGGAGUGGUAGCUGGGGUCCGAAGUAGUUCACUGUAGUGCGAGAAUUGAAUGCAGGGUGGUAAUUUAUUAGCCGUCACUCUACAGACAAAACUCACACCUUGGAACUGUUAUGGCAUGUACCCAUUUUGAUUCUCUCAUUGUAAACUCCUAGUACAGACAUGAUCAAAUAACUGUGCCAAUGUUAUUGCCAUCUUUGCAUCCACGUGUAGACUGAUGAAUAUCAUUGUGAGCUUAAGUUGUGUCUGAUCAUGUUGAGGUUUUCUCAGACGAAUCAACCUUUCUACGGAUGGUCGUGGUUUUCAUCAAGUAUUCAUGCUAGUAGUAGCGAAGUCAAUGCUGAUUGUCGGCACAGAAAUGCCUACUUUGGGGGUUAGCCGGAAGGAUUAUCAUUCUUGCCACUCACCAAAUUGAAUCCCUUUAUGUUGCAAAUACCUCAAGGCUGAAUGUGGAGGUGUAAUUGCGGCAGCAGUUCUUCUCAUUUAGAUUAGUUCUCAAGACUUGGUGUUAGCUGCGGGUUUCUAGGUAGCGUUUGAGUGGGGAACCGCCAAGUAACUCAAUUCAUACUGGUUCAUAUCGGUUUAUUUAGUAUUGACUGUCACAUGCACCUCAUGUGGAGUUUGUCACGCGGUUCUUGUGAGCCCCAAGACUUCACAAGAUUUCUACCUCAGAAUGCUGCCGCGUGUGUGUCGUGCUCUCAUGGCCUUCUUUCACAUUUCACCUGCGUGAAGAAUUCGUUGUCGCAUACGCGAUUCUCUUACCUUCCAUUAUGAAUGUAUGCUGGACGCUCAAUAUUUGGUACAAUUCUUCUUGUAUUAUGUAAACAAGACCACCAUUCAUAAUUUAUUAUUGUAGUAAAACGCGUAAAUACUUUCAGUUUCUCAUCAACAUUCUCUAAUCCUUCUGUUAACCAAGUGACUCGAGUUUCUAUGAAGCGAGUUGUGUUGUUGGGUGUCUUUCAGGAAUUAUUCUAGUUUCUAUUCAAAUUUAAAUUGUUCGCAGAUUGCCGUUGAUUGUUUGAGAAUGAGCGUUUGCUCCUAUGAAGGAAGCGAACCUUUCCCAUCUAUCUCCAUGUGUUCUCUAAUGUCGUUUAUCUUCCUAUUGUAUUAUAGUCUUAGGCUAUAUAUACUUCUCCUAAUCAGAUAUGAUUUGGCGCAGGCAACAACGGAUAUGAUUGUGGGUUCUUUCUUCGGCGACAUUUGAUAGAUGUCGAACUUAUAAUUUAAUUUUGAAGAGUUGUCUUUGUUGUCAGUUUUAAAAACCUGAACAUUCAACUGAUCCUCAGAAGAAAAGAAUGUGUGCAUAGCGCUGAAGGUCCGUUUUAGUGUAUCGAGAAAAAACUAGAUUAAACAUCCUUCAAGCCAAUAUGAACAUAAAAGUGAGGUUCCCAAAACCAGUGCUAAUUCGCAUUCUGUAUUCCCUGCUGUGUAGGCCGAUUUCAACAUCAUCAAGGGAGUUAACCUGAUUGGAUGCAGAGACGAAAAUGAUGUCUGGCAUAACUCGAAGCUGUGUAUUUAAGAAUCAUGAAACUAUGGGUAACGGUAACUCACAACCCUCUAUCUAGUUCAGUAACAUUUUGUAUGAAUAGUUUUGAAGUCGUGCAACCGAAGUUGUGUUAACUAAUCAACCUCAUUAUCGUAUGCUGCUGGGAUUACUACACGCUGAACUUCCUCUAAACCAGAGUCAGAUAUUUCUACAUGUCUACCCUUCAUCGGUGAAGAUCCUGUUGUCUGCGGGAAGCCACAUAUGUGUUAAGUUUCUUUGAGCGUAAACCUCAUGAACACUAAAUAUAUUGGAUUGCGAGUUGGUGGGGAUGCCUGUAUCAUUCAGUCUCCUGCUUGACACAACUUUGCAUGUUCACUGCAGAAUAAAAUGGUUGCUAUGGAACGCAUCUCCCAAUAUCUCAAUCUCCCUAGAGAAGCACCGGAGGUAUAAAUCUACACACAAACAUGAAACACAAAGUCUUCAAACGUGAUGUCCAGUUGUAGAUUUGGGUGGACCGUAAGAAUACGUAAGAAUGUUAUACCGUGUCGCCAAAUAAUCUACGAUAUGGAUGAAUAAUACCGUUCAUCUAUUUUCAUUCAUCCAGAAAACCGCAAACCUUGGAGGCGGUGCCUUCGCAGAAGGUGUUUCCGACGAAGGAUCCAUAAGAGUAUGAUCCCGCUCUACAGGCUUUGUGUUCUCGCUGAGUCGAUUGAUUUGCGUGUGUGUGGGUAGCGCUGGAUUGGAAUUGAAGCGAGAGCAAGAUCAGUAGGGUGAAGUUGCGAUUAGGGUUUCAGAUUUGGAGAUUUGCCAUAGCUGAGUGGGCAAGAUGGUGCAGGUGUUAGUGAGCAAGGGUGAUGGGGGAACGGUGGCAGUGCGUGUUGAUGAGGAGCAGACAGUCGGGGAUUUGAAGAGCUUGGUGUUGCCGAGGAGUUGCGUUUGGGAUCAUGUGUAUUUAUCAUUCGCAGGCAGGCCCUUAGCCGAUGACGCUAGGUUGGUGGAUUGCGGAAUUGGGAAUUGGAGCAGUUUAGGGUUUGGGGUGAGAGUGCGUGGAGGUGGUGGAGAUGGGGGAGCCACGGGCGCUGAGUCGCGAGACUGCUACUUGAACAUGUACGCAUCGAAGAAGCCGGAUAAAGUUGACCCAAAUGAGAUCAAGUUGGCUAAGUUUACCAAUUGUGCGCUGUCAUCGGAGCCCCUGAAACCUCCAUGCGUGAUUGAUUUUCUUGGGAAUAUAUACAACAAGGAACCGGUAGUGCACGCGCUUCUGACGAAGUCGUUGCCGAAGAAAUUAGGGUAUAUUAAGGGGCUUAAGGACCUUAUUACUGUUCACUUCACUUCUAUUCCUGGGGUUAGCCCAGACGGGGAUAUCUCUGGAAGCAAGUUCCAAUGUCCAGUUACGGGUUUAGAAGUUAAUGGGAAAUUCAAGUUCUUCGCCCUGCGAAAGUGUGGUCAUGUGUUAAGUGCUCGGGCUUUGAAGGAAGUGUCGUCGGCGUCUUGCGCGGUUUGUUAUGUUCCGUUUACGGAGCUUGAAAAGAUCCCACUGAAUGGGUCCGAGGAUGAGGUAUGUGAUUGUGCUUUCAUCAGUAUCUAUCUUUAACCUAUCUGCAUUGAUCUGUGCCCAUGUUUGCCCUUGAACUGUGAAGUCCCCAUUUGGUAUUCAUAACAUCAAAUUUUAUGUUCAAAUGUAGUGGCCGCAUCACAUCGCUGUGCUUUCAUUUAUUUUGAUCCUUGUGAUGAUUACAACGAGACUGAGAGUAAAAAUGAAGAACAGUAAGCUCUAUAUUGCACAAUAAAAAUUAAAGCACCCUUGAUCCAAAGAUAUAACUCAGACUUUCACAAACAUCGAGAGCUUGAAGGUUUUACACUCAGACCUAUUUUUUAAGCUUUGAAGUCGUUUCUUACUUUGGCGUUUGUUACUACAGGUUCGUUUAUUGCGGGAGAGAAUGGAAGCAGAAAAAUCGAUGAUUCAAGACAAGAAGCCGAAGAAGGUUAAGAAUGGGAAGCUGGACACAGUAGAGCAAAGUGCGGGGGACUCGUGCAAAUCGACAACAGAGGAAAGUCGAAAAUUAGCCAAAAGCUCCUUACACAGUGGCAAACGCAAAGGAGAAGUUUUUCCUGAUUUGGAGGUGGCACAAGUGAGGCCAAAAGGUUCAGAUCUGGUUGUCGUGACUAAGAAGUUCAAAGCAUCCGAUAAGUUGCCAGAAAAUGCAACAAAAUCUGUAUACGCUUCCAUCUUUACGUCAUCAAGCAAGGGGACAUUCAAAGAGACUUACUCUUGUCGUUCUUUGCCUCUUGGGAGAAACUGACGCGUGUAUUGUUGAGGUUCUUGUGUAUCAUAUUUUUAAGGUUUUCAGCUUGGUAGUUUAAUCUGGGAAAGUAGGAAUUGAGGUGUAUCUUGGUGUGCCGGAUCACAAGUGACCUGCGGAUACUGGCAUUAGGACAAAACACUGAUUCGUUGAGAAGCACUGAAGCAAAUUGCAGUGUGAUAGUCACACGUUUCUUCCGUUUGUAAUUUACAGCAAGAAAGAAAAGAAAAAGUCUGGUGAACGGUUACAUACAAUGUGAUAUUGCAAUUAAAAGCUGUGCCUACAUUUGUUGCGAAAUACGAGUGCAGUGUAUUUGUGAUGCUCUUUGAUACCACUUGAUAACCAAAUUCUUUCAUGUUAAUCUGCAACUGACUAGCUUCAAUGUUCACAUUGGCAUGUGUUUGAUAGGCUUCUCUUAUUUAUUAAUUACUCCUGUAGUUUUAUUGCGGCAUAGAAUUGUGGCCCACUUAUGUUGUUCCAUUACAAUGUGCUGCCACAACGCUUAGGAUAUGUAAGUUCUAUGUCCAGGCUAGCUAAUUUUAUGCCACAGUUUGUCAUGCAAAGUUAGAAUCUAAACCUUAGUGGCUUAUGUAAGAUAGCUAGAACAGAAGCUUAAUAUCGUGUAUUCAUGUCCCUUGGAAGUUGAUUUCAAAAUUGGUCAAGUUAAUUGUGCCCAGGAUUUUCACUCACUUUAUAUGCGUCCAAAAUAUUUAGGUGUAUGUCAAACAGGAAGAACUAAAUUACCAGAAAUUUAAAACAAUGAAUGUUAGUUUUUGUACGUACAUAUUAUUGGAUGGGGGAAAAAGUGGGAUGAUGAAGACAAGAAAUGACAUUGUAGAAAAAUAGAAUAAUGAGAAGUGAUCUGAGCGCUAGAAGGAGGGGUCGAACCUCCGACCUUGUGGUUAACAGCCACACGCUCUAACCAACUGAGCUAUUCCAGCCAAUCUGACACCACAAUUUGUUCCUAAUUACAAAUAAAAUCCAAAUCCUUGAGAUUACGGUAAUCUCCUCCGCAUCUGGAUUCACCGGAUCGAGUGAAUCUGUGGACGGAAAUUAACCUACACUAGAUUUAAAUUAUUCUGACACUUUAUAUAAUUCUCAGUCUAAUAUGAAUCUUGAUUCUAAAUCGAGUCAUUGGUUUAGCCAAUAACUGCAAUAACCAUCUUUCUAAAUUGUGCCAGAGCAUUAAAAUUAAUCAUUUUUCAUUACAAGAACCUAUGGAUAAUAUUAAUUGCUCAAAUUUUUCAGUAUCAGAUGAAUCAAUUUAAAGACUCAUGUAUUACCUUCCAAAAAAGUCACAUGGAUUUCACACCCUGACUCAAAAUUCACGUAUUUGGCAUGAGCUUGUAAGAUCUAUCUAGACUUGGUUCUUCUAGAGUCCUUACGAUACGCAAUAUCUUCCUAACAUAGAAAAGUAAAUUAUGCUGUUUUGAAAUUUUGGGUUCCCUUCCUGUUGCUUGCACCUGAGACAAACCUGAACAUAUCUUAUUCGUUAUAUUCAUGUAAUCCACCAUUAAAUUGUUAUUAGACCAAAGAAUGGUCUCUCUUACAAUCAUUCCCUCUCUCGUUUGAUUUGUACCCUGAUCCCUUGACCUUGUGACUUGACAUUCAAAAAGCUAUGAUGUUUCAUGAACAGCUUGUAUUUUGAUCGAAGAGACCUCUUCUUGCCAUUUCAUGCUGACAAUGACCCAUAUGAACAAACAGAAUUUUCACUUAUCUAGUUUCAAGCGACUUUUCCAAUUCUCAAAGCAGUCGCACAGACAAAGAAAAUAUCUUAAUGUGAGCCUAUUGCACCGUGACACCAGUCGUUGAAUCAAUCUUAAAAAAACAAUCAUCAAUUCAACCAGCGCCUGACGAUUGAAGCAGGAAAAUCACAGACAAUACCAAGUUCUAAGCCCUAUUCUGAAACGAAAAAGAAUAUAACUGUGCAAUAACUACUUCGAAUUUCUUGAAAUCUUCUUUACUGCAAAAUUCAACUGCAGAAACUCGGUUCUACAUAUCUACAUGUGCAACUCUCACAAUUGAUAAACCAUUGGUUUUCUAAUGAAUAGUUCAACUUUUCAUGAAAGAACAGAAAUUUUUCACAACAUCAACAUGAACCAUGCAACUCAAAGCAGUAUCAACCAGAAAUAUAGAAGCAAUAGAUGAUGAAUUUGCAAACAAUCAAACAUUGAACAAGAGAUUUGAACUCAAACAGUGCUUCCGCAUGUCCAUUACGCCUUGGAUCAGAUACGUGACCUUAGGGGAUCCAGCAAGCAGGUUUUCUAGCAAAAUCCGAUUCGCCGCAUGAGUACGCCUCGUAAAAUGCAGAUGGCUCCCAGUUGCUGCACUACGCAACAUAUUUGACAACCCUCUACAAUCUCACUGUUUUAAAAAAACACAAAUUUUACCUUUAAUUCUUCCUUUUCCGAUCUGAGAUCUUGGUACAUCCGACAAAUAGAAUAUGGUGUACAACCAGGGAUUUCAAUAUGUAAAAAUCUACACUGCUUAUGCACUCGCCUUCAGUGCCUUCAAUCAAACAGGUCGACCUCAGAGCAUUUGAGAACACUCCUCAAAUACAUUCAAGUAGAUGGAGGUCGAGGACUUACUAUUAUCACAUGAAAACCGACCUUCAUCCCCACCGUGAAAAAAUGACCACUCUCCCUCUCUUCCAGCAACAUCCCCAUUCCUGCACAACUCUUCAAAUUCUAUAAGACAGCCAGAGUAAAGGCUAUAAAGUCAAGAAUGUGUAAUCGACAGCCAUGGAGGGAACAGACAAGAAAUGGACCAUAUUCGCCAUUUAGGUACCGUUUACACAAUUCAGGCAAAAUAAAGCUACCAUGAAUCUCUUUCGAUUGAAGUUCUCUUAUCCUGAGGGGAUGCAAUAAUGUUGAGAGAUGAUCAAUUCAUGAUACACAAGGCUUGCAACGAGGCUUGGAAUUAUCCACCUGUAUACAUUCAGAGCAGACUAAUGUGCUAAAAACACAACUGGAGAGAGCUUCCAGUAGCAGCAGAUACGUAGGCAUUACAUCGUUGAUUCCAAAUUGCCACCAGAUUUUCUCUACACCAGAAAAUUAAUGGUCAUUGUGACAGUUUAUACAAUCUGGCAAAGGUUAUGGAGGGGCGCAUAUCAUCAAUAUCCGAACUUCGCAUUGAGUGCUGUUCGCCCAUCUCCAGUUUGCCCUGCAAAAUGUGGUAUAAACUUAUCAAAAACUCUCAAAAAACUCUCAAAAAAACAAAAAACAAGAAGUUUAACUGCAUAAUUUUUCAGAGCUAAGAGAUAGGCCAAAAUAGAAACCCAGUGCAAGAAGUUGUAAAGAGAAAAUAUAAGUACCUUUAGGAGGGACCCAAGCUUCUUCGAGCUCGUCCAAUUCGUUAUCCAAUGCAGGAGGUCUUUCAGGCCCCAGCUUUCGUUUUUUCUUGCCUCGAGUUUUAGUUGCAGAUACAUGCUGCAAGCUGUCGCUCGACUGAGUCUCUUGUUCUCGUACUUCCUCUUGAGUAGUAAAACCUGAUGUGUGUCUCAUUAGAAGUGCAACUGCCUCCAUGGCUGCAUGACUAGCGACAUCUGUAUACUCGCUCCCCAACAUAUCACCUACAACUUCUACUUUUGCGACAUCCUCGUUCUUAGGAGCUGACCGUUUCCUAUCUUUAUAUCCUACAAAAUCAUUCCCAGUUUCUGUGUUUUCUUCUGUGGAAAUUGAACCCUUUGUAGCUUCAUUCUGUGGUGCCUCCGGCCGCGGUGCAGGUCGUGGUGCACCAAGAAGAAGAGUAGGUGCAAGAACCGGCAUCUCUUUGGUUUCAGGUUGAUUGUCAAUAGAACCCAUACUAACAUCUGGAGUAGGUGGAGCAUUAUUCGCUUCAGGAGCAGGUUCAAUAAGCUCCUUUGCUUGAGAUGCAAGCUCGCGCGCAGCUUCUUUACUGGCACGUAAUCGUAAUCGAUUCUCUACAAUGGUUUCUACCUUCUGAUAUUGGCUUGAACCUUGAGCUUUAGAAUCCCAUUUCCCAGCAGCAUCUCCAGAUGGGUCUGCAAUUUUCAGGAGGCGGGCAACCCUAUCAGCUUCCGCUUGAAGCUUUGAUAGCUCCUUUGAGAGGCGGUCUCCUUUGUCUUUAACUGCACACCACAACAACAAAUAUUAGUGCUAUUAUGUACUCAUGGUCUCGGCUAUCAGAGGUUGUUCUAACAUUUUACUCCUUGAAAACAAAGUGCAUCAACAUCCUUGGACGGAAGCUGUCGUGCAAGAAUGCCCGCUCUAAGACAAAUGACAUACCAAUUUUCGUGGAUACGGUUGACAUGAAUGCAUCCAGAGGAUCUAUAGAUUCCGAGGUGAUAUUGCUUUCUUCUUUUGUACUUGAUUUUGCUUUCUCAGCCUCUAACUCAGCCGACACAACAUCCAUUUCCUUUGCAAGCACAUCUCUUUUCUCGAGAAGAGUCUCAGCUGUCUCCACCACUUGAGUGGUUUCUGCUUUAUUGGACCUCUGUUUUCGCUUGUUCGUUCGAUCAUAGAACUCAUCGUCACUGAAAAUGGUACCAAACACAAAACUGGAUUUUAGACACACCCACACCCAAAACAUGCUGUGCUCUGCCAAAUUCGUGCAAAGAUAUAGAUUGAGGGUAGAAUUUAGUACCUAGCAUCUUCGUCCUCCUCGUCCUCAAAAUGAGGUUUCUUUUUUGAGAGAGACUUCCCUGAACGCGCACCUAAACUUUCUCGAAUACUCUCGUUAAGGGUUUCCUCUAAGCUUUCCAACUCCUCCAUGAGCUGAAACAAGUCCAAACACAUCACAAGCUGAGCUGUUUGCAUUUUCAGAACCGCCACAUAGUAACACUCACUAUGCUCAAGGUGAAACCGUGAUCAACAGAAACCGAGGGAAUAUCCAAAGGAGUCACCCUAAUGAAAACGCUACAACAUUACUGUCUUAUAUCAUAUACUUGCAGAACCAAACACCGCACAACAUCCACAAAUGCCGUCCCUCUAAUAAUCUUUGGAAAUCUGGCAAAAACUGGUAUAACAUCAAACAAUCACCUAUACAACUGUACAGAACCACUGCUGAUGAAAAUAGAAGCACUCCGCCAGGUAGGUCACUGACCGCUUCAAUACGUUGCUCAUUGCGUGCAAUUUGUGUCUGUUGACCUUGAGUAAGUCCCCCUUGGCUACCUUCUUUGGCUCUAAUUGCAUCAAUCUCUUUGUUCAAAUUGCCCAUCUAACAGCCAGAACAUAGUAUCAAACUGUAAGAACUAAGUUUAAAUAUGCGUACAUGUAGAUAUUACACAUAACUUGCAAAGCAGUCUUGUGUCAAAUUACAUUAAGUAACUGAACAAGUAAUCCAAAGAGAACAGCGUACUUCUCCUGGAUUGAAAACACUUUGUGCCUUCAACAUGUAGAUGAAAUGCAAAUUUAUGUCCCAUUGUCAGAGAAACGUGACUAAAAAUACCUUUUCAUGUCGUUUUUGAACUUUUUCGAGUGUCUUUUGCUGUUUCUCUGUAAGUGAUCCCUUGUAAGUCUGCCAAGUCACUUCGUCCAGGUCCUCCUGCAUGACGUCCAGCAUCAUAUCAACACAACUGUUCUGCUUUUUUACCACUGUACUCCUACAUAGCAAAUUCACAUCAUAAUGGUUUCAUGGUCCCACAGCAAACCAUGAUUUGAACACAAAUAUCUGACCGCUCAUGCUAGAGUGUUCACCUCUUCCUCUUCAGCUUCAGCAUCCUCCUGCAUGCCCCAGCUAGCACCCUCCAAGGCUGAUGCCUCCGCUUUUGCUCGCCGAAGGGACAUUUCUCGCAUGUGUGCUUCUGCAGCUCCGGCUGAAUGCCUCUCCUGUGAGGCGUUUCAAAGAUUUAGAUACUACAGGGUAUCAGGGUCGAGGUAUCAGAGCAUUAAAAACAUAGUGGAAAUGGUACUGAAUGGAAUAGUAGUACUAAUAACAAUAAUUAUAAUCUUGAAAAUCCUGACGUACUGAUAGCAAUUAUUGGUUGCGAACCUCCCUUCCCGAAAACGUGUCAUUCUAAUCAAUGGUAUAGAAGAGGAAGAUGCAAGGACCAAGAAUUUUCAUAGCAGCCAGUUGUCUAAUUAACUAGCUAAGGCUAACUCCUCCACAAAUGUACUUUAAACCUUGCCUAUUGAACUCAAGUGCAUAACAGUAAACAAAACAAACUGAAGCACCACGAUCAAUCACAAAGAAAAAAGAAGAAAUCUACCUCGGGCAUAAGUUCGCUUGGGCCUUGGAGCACGUACAAACGGAUUGAGCUAAAAAUUAAAAGCAAGUGCACCGUAAGACCAAGUUGCAAGGUUUGGUGAUACCCUGAAAGCUUGAAGUUGAAGAUUAUGAUCUCAAAACUAUAAAUAAAUAAAUAAAUAAAUAAUACAUUACACAGAGAAUAUAGAAGGAUUAUUGUCUUACAGGCCAAAGCGAAAAAUUGCACCCACAUGAACUGGAGUAUAAACUCUGGGCUUCACCUGCGGGCUCCAACAUUGUCGAGGUUGAAGGGCAAAAGACUUCUUCUCCUUGACAUGUGGAAAAUAAUAACAAGAACUAGCGACAAGAAAAAGAACAAUAGAACGAUUCAGGUCAAACAAGGUGAAAGCAUUCCAUGUUUCUAGUCCCAUAAAAAGAACGGGGGCAAAAUGCCAAACCUGACGCUUGUUAACAAAAGUACCAUGCGUACUCCCGAGGUCGUAUACAAAGGCUUCUCCUUUGUCAUUGUACUGCAGAACUGAUCAACCAGAAAACAAAUACAAUCAAGACCCAAAUCAACUCUGAACCCUCACGUUAGAGUUUAAGCAAUUAAAAUUUGCAAGGAGUCUAAGCAAUUUUCAAGCUCCAUAUGAUGAGGGUAUCCAGAACGAAACACCUUCUUUACAAAUGUGCUGAUUACUCCAAUAGACAUGAAAAAUCUUCCAAAUUUAACUUUAAAAUCCUCUAUAGCUAUGGUAAGGAAGAUCGUAAACAGAUCGCCUACGAAAGAUCCCACCAAUUGAGCUCAGAAAUCCUGGCCCAAACCUUGGAGUAAAGAAAUGAAAAAUACUGUUCUGAAGUGAAAUACCUGCAUGGUAGCGGGACGCGCUCGGAUGCUCUAAGAUGAAGUCACACCGGUCGCUGCGCCCAAACAUGUAAGCUCCUUUGCUCGAUCUAAACAAGUGAAUAUAUAGUUGGUUUCAGUUAGUAAACCAAAGGAAGAGUAACAACUGAGCUUGAAAACUGCUGCAGAUGAGACAUUCAAAAGAUUCUUCACUCUUUUUACAUACGGAAAAAAACAUAUCGUUACAAAAGCAUUGGGCAUCGCAAUCUAUUUAUACAAUUCUUACGACUGUUAGAGCAUGGCAAGGAGAACAUACACAUCAAGGUUGCCCAGAAUAACGCCUUCCUUCAGAACUUCAAGCAUGAAGGGAUGAAUAGGUGCUGCGCUCCAUGUGGGUAUCACAUAGGGUACGCCCGAAGAAGCUGGCUCCAAUGAAGCCUUGCUCAUGGAUGCUUCCAUGGCCAUCACCGUACUACUACCCUCUUCAUCUAAAGGCUUCACACCUACAGAGAUAUUUGCUGUUGCUGCAAUGCAACACAUAAGUUAACCUAAGCCCAGAGAUGAGAUCACAAAAAACUCGCUCAGAGUGUCCAGAGAGACUUGAAAAUCUAGUUGCAUAUUAGUUAUGAACCACAUUUAGGGUGGCAAACAAUAUAAUGCUCUCUCAAAUCGCAGCUCACAUCAUUGAUUUCUCGAGGCCACUGAAUUUACAAGAAACCAAGCACUUCCCAUUGAACACUGAGUUCGGACGCAGGUUUGUGUAAGAUCCCCUUACUCACAGCAUAGUGAUUUAAAAAGGUAGUCUACGCUAAAGCUUCAACUGAUGACGAGUCACCGCAAGAUUGUUCAGAGUAUACUUCCAAUCCUCAACACGGCAACAAACUGUUUGUUCAAACAAAAAUGCUGUGAAGUCAUGUUUCCCGUAUGAAGUCUACACGCAUGAGACAGUAGCGCACCUUCCACAGUCGAACUUUGAACAAUCUCCUUCACUUCGUCUUUACUAGAUUUCACCCGCAUUGGUGGGGGUCCCAUUGGACCCGGUAAGUUGGCUUUUGUAAACUUGGAAGGAGGCAUCGAGGGUGGGGGCAUGGCAGACGGAGGUUUAAAGGAUGGAGGUCCCAUUCGCUUGGGCUCUUUAAACACGGGAACUUUGGGCGGACCUCCUCCAACUUCAGUAGAAACUAAAUUUGAAAUCGUCACUCCUACCUUAGCAAUCGACUUCAAACUACCAACCUCCAAUUCACUACCAUCAUUGCCAUUGUUCAACUCCUCACGACACAUCUCGAUCUCGGUUUUCUGGAUAACAGCCGGCUCCUUUCCAGAACCAGAAUUGUCUGUACCGGGUGCAAGAGAAUCCAUGACGGACUAAAACUCUCGACUAACAGGACGCACAGCUAAAAAGUAAUAUUUCCGCGGAAAAAAAAAAAAACAAAAAAAAACAAAAACAAAAACAACAACAACAACAACAACAACACACUCACACACACGAAAAAAAGCAGCAUUCGCUGCCAACAAAAAGAUUGGCCAAAUUCAAGAAAAACGAACAGCAGCAAAAAUUUCAACACGUAACUAGAAAAAAUUAUUAUUAUUAUUAUUAUAAAAAUAAAAAAAUAAACUCUUACUCAACUCAGUGCUCUAAUCUCAAAUUCCACACCUCCUCUAAAUGACCGACACGCUCGGUGCGAUUCUCUCCCAACAGCAAACAACAAAGCAACUAACUCACAAUUCUACAAUUCCACUCAACCACGGGAACCCUCUCCAUCACCAAUCCUGGAACAACACAUCAUCACAGCAGGUCUUUAUAAAGCAAACAGAAAAAACGAUAAUCCGCGAGAUUUAUCAAAAAAACGCAGAACACGAAUCAGAAUUGUAGCAAGUAGAGUGUGCUAACGUUGCUUGCGACGAUCGGACAGCGAUCUCUCCAUCUCCACACACAGGAAAAUUGCAGUCCUGGUCAUUUCUCGGUGGUUCUAAGAAACCCUAAACCUUUCCUAGUUCCUGUCCCCUAUUUCCGUGAAGUGUCAUCCGGGUGCCGUGUGAAUGGGAGCAUAAUAAGCCACGCUGAGGCUCCCUUCCUAUAUAAUUUUGUAUAUUAAGAUUGCUCAAUGCAGACAAGUAGUGGUUCUUGAUGGUUGCAUGGAUGGAUCUUUAUUUUCAUCAAAAAAGAUCACCUUCUCUGGAGUUGAGUUCACAGGUCAUUUUACAAAGUUGAGUUCACAGGUCAUUUUACAAAGUUCACAAUUUGAUUUAUAGAUUGUUUUAUAGAGCUUUGCAUUGUAGAGCAAGUGCCUUUAUGUCAUUUAGUUUUUUUUUUUUUUUUUUUUUUUUUUUUUUUUGUUGUAGGCUCUUCUCAAUACUAGGGUUGCCUCAACAGUUGUGGAGUUAAUUUUUAACAUAGCUGCUAUCGUUUUCUUUUUGAACCCUCUACUUAAUGUUGGAGUAUGUUGAGAGUAUAUUCAUUUGGAUAUUAAUUUUUUUUUAUCAAGGACAAGAAUUGAAUGAAAACAAAUAAUCAAAUGAGCCUCUCUCAAAGAAAUAUGACAAAAUAGAAAUAGAAAAAUAUGUAUAUUAAAAAGAAAAUUAGAAUGGCUAUUGCCAAAAGACAAGAAAAUUAGAGACUCUUAAAACUAGACUAGAAGCAAGAAAGGAAUUGACAAGAGUGAAGAAGGCUUCACACUUGCUUUAAUAUAUACUAUCUAUCUAGGAUCUAUAUAGCGACGUUCUACACAACCUCUAAAAAUAUAUUGACUUUACAUGAUAUGUAUCUUAACUUGAAAGGCAAGUUUUCUAUAUGAAUGCUAUAUAAUUAGCUUGUUCCACAAGCUAUCAACACAUGUGAUACAUGGUUUGCUUGUUGACCAAGUUUCUAACCUACCAAUUAAUUACAAACACAUGUAAAAUCAAAACAACAUUUAGGAAGCUUCUAAAAAGCUUUCUAUAAGGUAUUAUGAAAUUAAUCUACUUUUAUCUACUUCUACUUAUUUAUAUUACAUAGAUAACAAUUAUAGUAGAUAUGUAUCCAUGACAUUACCUCUCCUUUUAGAGACGAGUUCUACAAGAAGCAAUGAUUACAUAUUGAAGAAGUUUAAGCUACAACAAAUUGUAUUUAUCAUGUACUCUGUUCUUUAAUCCUUUCAAAGGUAAUUGAUAGGUCUUCUUAGCCAUUGAUAAUCUCCCAUUCUAGGGCGAAAAGAUCACCUUGUUAUUUCAUCAUUGUUAAAACCUUUGUAACUUCCUUCAAACAAAACAUUUAUAAUACCAUCAGGAGUUGUCUCUAUCUUCAGUAAAACCACCAAAUAUUGAGAGUCUCUUUUCAAGUCAUGAUACCAGACGUGUUGUAUCUUACUAUCUAUUUGAGAAAAAACAUGGCGUUCUUGAAGGUUUUUAUUCCUACUAUGUCAUCUUAAAGGCUAUAGUAAUUAUAAUGUCUCAUCCGAUAAGUUAAUAAAUGAUGGCUCUUGAGUUGAAUCUACUAGUUGUUGAUUCUUUAUCUCUUUAAAGCCAUAGUUAUACAAAAAUUGCAAACAAAGAUAGAAUGUAGAAUGCAAUCUUUCCUAAAUUAAGUUUCUUUUAUAGCAAAGGUUUGUUAUUAUUUAUCUUAGUUUUGUUUGAUGUUGUUGAUGAAAAGCUUUGACCUUCUCUCUUAUAUUUGUAAGAUUUUUAAACAAAUUGUAAUAGAUUCUUAAACAAAUUACAAUUAAAGAUUAGCAAAUAUAAUCAAACAUUGAUAAAAUUCAAUCAAAUUUUCAAAGGAAUUAUGUAAGAAACACAAAGUAUUCCUAGAGAUCCUUUAAAGAAUCAUAAAGAAAUAAUAUAGAAAUUCAAAAAUAUACUAAAAUAGAAACCUUAUUUAAAUCCUAAUCAAAACUUAAUUAAAUUCUAGUCAAACCCUAGUCAAAUCCUAGUCAAAUCCUAACCAAAUCCUAAAUAAUUCCUAACAAAAUCCUAAAUAAAUCCUAAACAAAUCUUAACCAAACCCUGAUCAAAUCCUAAAUAAAUCCUAAUCAAAUUUUAAAUAAAUCCUAAAUAAAUCUUAAAUAAAUCCUAAUCAAAUCCUAAAUAAAUCCUAACCAAAUCCUAAUCAAAUCCUAAACAAAUCAUAAAUAAAUUCUAAACAAAUCUUUAAAAAAUCCUAAUCAAAUCUUAAAUAAAUCCUAAACAAACCUUAACCAAACUCUAAACAAAUCCUAAAUAAUUCCUAAAUAAAUCCUAAAUAAAUUCUAAUCAAAUACUAAAUAAAUCUUAAUCAAAUCCUAAACAAAUCCUAACCAAAUCCUAAACAAAUCUUAAUCAAAUCCUAAUCACUUUCUAAACAUAUCCUAACCAAACCCUAAAUAAAUCUUAACCAAAUCCUAAUCACUCCCUAAACAUAUCCUAACCAAACCCUAAAUAAUCCCAAAUAAUUCCUACGGUAGAUUUAAACCUCAAUAAUUAAUGUAUAAACCAUUGAUUUUAACUCAAAAUUUGCACACCUCUUAAUAAUUAAGUUAAAAUCAAGUAAUUUUUUUUUAAAGAAGAUCGACCUUAAUAUUUGCUUGAAUAUUGGCGAGCCUUCUUCUCCAAUCUGAAUAUUGAAUUUCUAGCACUAAUAUCUCCUUAUCAAACUAUUCAAUUGAUCUCAAAUUUGUCACAUACAUACAAAAAUAAGUCUACUACCCACACACAUAAUUUUUACUCUAAUCCAACUGAUAGAUUGCAAGAAAACUUAGAAAUCCUCACUCAAAUUAAAACUCGUCUUUCCAAGAAUCUGACCACUUUAAACAUCAAUAAUCUUCAAUCCAACCCUUCAAUCAAGCUCAAACUCACAAAAUAUAUUGAAUACAUAUAAACCGACGAACUUUCAAAAUUUCACCUAUGGAUCUACUGCCAAACUUACAAAAUUCUCCAAAAAGUAUCUCCCUUUUUAUUUCACAAAUCCACAGUCACCCAAAACAAACCUUGACUUUGCAAAGCUCUUACAAAUUUAUUGUAAAUUCAAAUCACUCUAGAUCAAUAUGUAUCAAUAUUCUAUCAAGUCUUCUCUCUAAUCCCAUUCUUUGAUCUGCCAAAGAACCCUAGAAUCAUCAUCAAGACUU
This 54798-nucleotide long non-coding RNA is filed under the name Physcomitrium patens. Its description in RNAcentral is "long non-coding RNA (PPAT_LNC008589)". The record is from RNAcentral. Lineage: Eukaryota; Viridiplantae; Streptophyta; Bryopsida; Funariales; Funariaceae.